Molecule: long non-coding RNA, 47773 nt
Filed under: Gossypium barbadense (sea-island cotton)
Lineage: Eukaryota; Viridiplantae; Streptophyta; Magnoliopsida; Malvales; Malvaceae
Description: long non-coding RNA (GBAR_LNC022774)
Source: RNAcentral
AUAUCACACAAUUUCUUUCUUUUUCUUUUCUUUUUUAACAAUAAAUCACAAAGCUUAUUAUCAGACAGAAGCAGCGUUGCCGGAAAAUGGCUUGCCUCAAUGCCCGACGAUCUCUAUCCACCCGUUUAAGCCGCGCCCUCACUGCUUCUUCUUCCUUUCCUUUCCGUUCUCGCCUCACCGCUGCUCUCCUCAACAAAACCCCAAUUUUUAUCCCCGUAGCAACCAAAAUCCUGACCCGAACCAAGACAUCCGGGUCUGGCUACUCGCCUUUGAACGACCCAUCUCCUAACUGUAGUAGCCCACGACCAUCGGUUCUCCUAGAUGACAGUUCUUAUGAGCAUUGGCUUAUCAUUUUGGAAUUCCCAGAACGCCCGAAACCUUUGGAAGAAGAAAUGAUGGAUGCCUAUGUUAAAACCCUUGCUUCUGUUGUCGGCAGGUUUUUAAAUAAUAAUUAUUCCUUCAAAUUCCAUUAAAUCUUGGUUUUAUUUUCUUUUUUGUUUGUUCUGAUCUUGUAGUGAAGAGGAAGCGAAAAAGAGAAUAUACUCUGUUUGUACAACGAUCUAUACUGGGUUUCGUGCUUUUUUCUCUGGGUAUCUGAUUGAUGAACUUGGAGGUAAUUUCAUUUCCCAUUUACUACGGUUUAGGGUUUACAUGGUUUUCCCUGUUUCUAGUGUAAUUGGAACAAGAAAUGGGUUUUUUGAAACAAUAGGUUUUCACUUUUUAGAAAGAAAAAAGAAUUAACAUUUGUUUUCAUUGUGUGUGAUGUGUUGUUAGCUGUUUUAGGGUUUUAAACCUCCCGAUGUGAUUGCUUUCUAUACUAAUUUAUUAGGGUUUAAACGGUUUUCCCCAAUUGCUUUUGUGAGUGUUUUUGAACUUACAAUUGAUGAGGCAUCCACUUUGUUCUAAAAUCAAUUGGCAUUAUGUUUCUACAGAGUUACCUCGUGUACGCUAGGUUUUACCAGUUCGGUGUUGUAGCCGAGAUCAUUAUUAUGCAGGUGGGUAGCUUAAAGAUCUUACAGCCAUUGAAGUUCCCACUGUCAACAAAUUUAAUCUCUUUUUUAUUGGUGGAUUGAUUGCCAGGGGAUCUGUUUGUUGAUGGGAAAGUCCUUCAUAGACCGCAAUUUCCAUGGGUUGGUGUUCCAAAUAGCAGCCACAGAGUUGGAGGAUGUGGUGAUCAUGAGCUUUGGCUUAUCACUUUCGAAUGCCGGGAAGAACCUUCCUUAGAAGAAAAGAUUGAUUUCUAUGUUAAAACUCUCGCUUCUGUUGUCGGCAGGUUUUUGAUUCCUUCAAAUAUGCGUUUUUUUUCCUGGAAUUUGAGAAAUGGGUUUUAUUUUUCUUUUUUGUUUGUAGUGAAGAGGAAGCGAAAAGGAGAAUAUACGCUGUUGGUGGUAGACUAACGAGGUAUACUGGGUUUCGUGCUGUUAUGUCUGAGGAGAUGGCUUAUGAACUUGAAGGUAAUUGCAUCUCCCAUUUAUUAGGGUUUACAUGGUGUUCUCAUUUAUUAGGGUUCAGUGUUUAGAAUUGGCGUUAUGUUUGUCUAGGGUUACCUCUUGUAGAAGGCGUUUAUCGGGAUUCAGAGGUCGAAUAUGAAGAAGAUUUUGAAGGAGGUGGGUAGUUUAAAGAAUUCAAGAUGAUGUUUGUUGCUUACUGCCAUUGUCAACAAAUUUAAUCUCCUUUUUCUUAUUAGGCCAUUUGCUCGUUGAUGGGAAAGUCGUUCUUAGACCAACCUCUUUUAGCAUGAAACGACUAGAGGUGGGGAAACUGCCGGGAGUAUUACAUUUCCUGCAAGACCAGAUCCUUGACGUUAUUUAUUGGGAAGAAACCAAAAGCAGCAGCGGUGGCAAAAACUGAUCUCGUGCAGGAUUACAUCUUUUCCGAUAUUUAUAAUCGUAAUGAUUGAUAAUUAUUUGAAUUAUUAACUCGUGCUAUUUAGGUCAACAGAAGCCCUAAUCACCAUUCCUAAUAAAUAUUAACUUUAUUUACUGUUGUUAUUAUAUACAAAGUAUAUAAUUUUGAUUUUGAUAAUAAUUAUUGGUUAUUUAUAAAUUUAUUUUAAUAUCUUUAAUGAGUGGAUUAAUACCCAUCAAUUAGUAGAGAAACAUAUUUUAGAGGCCAAGUCGAUUUGAUGGUUGUUAAAUAUUAGAUAAGAAAAUUGUUUGAGUUUUGAUCCAUAGAUUCAUAAUGUUUAAAGUUGUUUUAUUAAGAAAAAAACUAUAGAAAAGAAAAUGAAUUAGAGCUUUUGAUUGUUCCUUUCGAGUAAAGGUAUUGAAUUUUUUGAUCUUUGUGUACAUGGAAGGGAAAUAAUUAUUCUUAAUAAAAUUUUCUAGAAACGCCUUACCUUUACAAAAUAGCGAUUUUGGAUCUAACAAAUUUUUAUAUACGACAAUAAAUACAACUUGCAAACUCAUAAGAAAGGUGUCACUAUUAGUCUUGUUGGAAAUAUUAAUUAUGUAUGUUGUGCAUGUGGAAAAUCGAACCUUUUAACUAAAGAGUUAUAUGCCUUACCUUAGCAUACCUGGUACUUGGCUAUCACUUGGUUAGGGUUCAAAUUCUAUGAUGUUCAUAAAUUCAUGAUAUUUAAAGUUGUUUUCUAGAAAAAAAACUAUAGAAAAAAAAAUGAAUUAGAGCUUUCGAUUAGUGUAGGCGAUGAGAAUAGAAAAGACCAUACAACAAUGAUUUCAACAACUCAGCAACUUAAAUAAAAAAUUUUGAAUAAUUAAAUAAUAUUUUGUAACUUUUUAAAGUUGAAUAACCGACACAUAAUUUUACUUAUAGUUUAAUGACUUUGAAUGUAAUUUAAAUUAUUUAAAAUAAAUAGUAUCAUUAAAUAUAAAUAUCAUAAAUCUAAAAGGUAAAUAGUAAAAUUUGAAAAUCAAUAAACUAGUGUAAAAUUUUUAACGGAUGAUAUAAUUUUAAAAAACAAAUAAAUUUAUCAAGUGAUAAAUAUAUCUUAUUAAAAAUAUUAGAUCACGAUAAAACAAUUAUUUAAAAGUAUAUAUUUAUUAAAAAUUAUGUCAAAUGAUAAAGUUGAAGAUUUAAAUUUAAAUUUUUGCUUAUAUUUUUUUGAGUUUAGAUAAAAAUAUAAGAAGAUAAAAACAUAUUUAUAUAAUAUAAUUUAUUUUGUGAAAAGUAUGAUUUUUAAUUUUUUUUAAAUUGAAUGAUUGUAUAGAUAAAUUAUUGGUUUAAUAUAUUAUUUGGUACCCGAGUUUGAUACAUUUUCUUAAUGUGGUACCUAUCUUAUUUUUUUGAUUCAAUUUAAUAUACGAAUUUAAUAAAAAUUAUACGUUUUUUAAUAGUCUAAUAUAAUGAUUUUAAUUUUUUAGAAAUAUAUUGUGCUAAAUAUGAAUAAAGAUAAGAUAUGAUACAAAAUUUCUAGAUUUUUUAACAAUAAACCGGUUAUACUUUAAUUUCUAAUACAAUUACAUCCUAUAUUUUUAUAAUUAUACUCACGGCAUCAACGUAAUUAAACCACAUACAUCACCACAUAUAUAUAUAUAAAAGAUCGAAGGCGGCGAAUCUUAUCUUCCCCAGGAGUAGGGAAACAGAUUUAAGCCACUAGUCCUAUCUCCCUGGUCAGCAGUGGGAUAGGUUGAAGAUUACGAAUCUUAUCUUCCCCAGGAGUAGGGAAUCAGAUUUAAGCGACGAGUCUUACUUCCCCGACAUCACAGCUAAGCAAAUUAAAGUUACGAGUUACAAAUUCUAUCUCCCCUACGUUGUGGUGGAGUAGACCGAUGCACCAAUUCCUAUACCUCUGAGAAUGCAGUAGGAUAGAAUGAGGCUACGUGAAGAAAAGAGCACCAAGGUCCAACAUGACCGGGCAAAAUUGGCCAUUUUAAGUCUUUGCUCCAUUCCUGUUACAUGACAACGAGCAAAGAGGGGCAGCUGUAAUGGCCCAAAUUUGCCCGGCCCAAAUCAGAAAUAAAUAAACAAAAAAUAUAAACCAAUAAAAAAUAGUCCAUUUUAAAUGUCCAUUUACACAGGGCUUAAUAUGGCCCAAACUAAACACGACCCAACUAAAAUCAAACCCAAAUACCCCUAGCCCAAAUACCCUUAGCCCAAAACCCCAAACAGAAACCUUAGGGUUUUUGAGAUCUCAGCGUCGUUGCCCUCACAUGCCCCAUGAACAUAGCCUCCAGCGCCUUCAGUCUUCCUCUCUACGCGCGCCACGCCAACACCUCCGUACGCGCCUCCGUACACUGUACUUGCAAGUGAAACAAAGACAAAGCAACACACAAAGAAACAGAAAAGGAAGAAAAGAAAAUAACAAAAUAGCAAAUAGAAAAAAUAGAAGAAAAACAGAAGGAGCAGAGAGAGGGGUUAUUUAUUUUUCUUUCUUUUUUCGAUUCGGCUAUAUAAAGCCAGAUACACCAUUGUAAAAGGGGAUCCCAUUUUUGAAAAAAAAUCAAUAAAAAAGAAAAGAGCAUAUAGCAGGAAGUCGAAGGUGAUUUCAGUAUUUUUUAUAUUAUUUUUGUUUUCUUUUUCUUUUGUUUUCCUUUCUUUUUUCAUGGUUUUCAUGUGUUAAAACGAAAGAGAUAAUAAACAAAAGAAGAGUACACUUACCUGGUGGCCGACUUGCCUUCUACUCCGUCGCAAUCGGAGCCGGAUGGAGGUUAAAGGCAUGAAACAGUGCGGAAUUGAGAGGAGAGUGCUUAGGUUCUUGUUUCAAAGGGCAGAUCUGGUUUAGUUUAGGGUUUCUUUUUUAUUUUUAUGUUAAUUAUGGAAACGGCUCCAAACGGUACCGUUUGAAGUUUCCAUAAUAGCUUCCAAACGGUACUGUUUUGGUGGCCAUGACCCGCGCUUGAACCCUACCCGGAUGAGGCUAGAUCCGUGCAUUUUGGAUCGAAGGGAAAUUUGCGCAAUGAGCCCCUCACAUUCUGUUUCGUUUUAAUGCAGUUUUUUUUCUUUGAUUUCUUUUAAUUGUUACCUCGCAUUUGAUUCCAUUCUCAUUUAGAUCCACAGUUGGACGGCGUCGUUUUCACUGAUCGGAUUUGUGUUUAAUUUCUGUUUUAGUCCCUCUGGUAUGCAAUGGUUUUCAAUUUGAUGGUCUUCAUAUUUAUUUCAAAGUAGACCCUAAUAUUUUGUUUUAUUUUUGAAAUUGUCCUUGUUUUUACUAUUUUUUAUUUUUUUAAUUAUAAUACUAUUAUUAUUAUUACUACUAUUACUACUAUUAUUAUAGGUGUUAUUAUGGUAUUAGUUUGUAUAUUUAUUUACUUUUACUUUAUCUUAUUAUGUAUUUUUUUAAAUUCCUUUAUCAUGUAUUAUUAUUUAUUCAAUUAAAUAAUGUAUUAUUUUAAAUAUUCUUUACGACUAAUUUGUACACAUUUUUUAUAAUUUUAUUUUACAAUAUAUUCAUAAAUUCCAUUUUUAUAUAUUUCUAAUUUUAUUUAUACAAUAAUAUUUUCAUAAUUCCAUUUCAUGCAUAUAUACAAUAUUUAACUAUUUUUAUUAUACACAUGUAUGUACAUAAUAUGCUAUUAAUUUCAUUUUUUUACCUAUUUUCUAUAUAUAUAUUUCAUUUCUUUAAAAAGUCUCAAUUUUAUUUUACUCAUUCCAACCUUUUACAUACUAUCGUAUAUUAUUAUGAAGUUUUUCACUCCCUAUGUAUUACUUACUUUAAAUUAAUAUGUGUAUAUUAUUUUAUAUUUUUUAAUUUUCUUUUUAUAUAAUAUUUGCUUCAAAAUUCAUCUAAAUAAUAUUAUUUAUGUGUUUGUCUUAUUAAAUUUAUUUUGAAUCUAUCACAAACUCAUAUAUGGUUGAUUUUAAAACUUUUGUACAUAUAAUCUAUUGACCAUAAUUUAUCCUCUUGUUUUCUUUUUAUUUUAGUAUAUCAUUUAAAAUUGAUUAUUAAUUCUUUUUGGGUUUUUGAAUAUUGAUAUUGAUACUUGUACGAUUAAAACUAUUGCUGCUAUUCUUAUUUGUAUUACCUUUCGCUUGCUUGUUAAUUCUUAGAGUAUGUUUGAGUUGCUAUUUAUCUUUUAUAUUGUAAUUCAAUCAUGUUCCAUUUGUAAAAAAUUUGCAUUUUAAAGCAAUCACUCUACUUCAAUUUUUUCAAGAAGGCCUAGUGUUCAUAGCUCUCGAGAAAAUUGUGCCCUAACUUACUGGGCUUUAAUUCUUCUCGAUGAAUUGGAAUAGCCAAGUGCUUGUUUUGGUAAAGCCCUACAACUUUAAAAUGAAGCUUCUGAGACUUCAAAAUGUUGGAUCCUAACUUACUGGAUGUAAUAUUUUGUUAUCUCGAAAUAAAAAUAAAGGCAAUAUUCGAUAUUUAAGAAUUUUGUGAAAUCGAACCCUAACUUACUGGGUUUUGAUUUUCUCAUUUGACCCAAAUAAUCAGAUAUCCUUCUCAAAAUGCAUAGGUUUUAAAAGUCAAAAGAUAAACUUAAUUUUGAGGAUUUAAAAUGUUGCACUCUAACUUACUGAGUGUGACAAUUCAUUUCUUUGAAAUAAGUGAAUCUCAUCAUCCAAUUUGGUUUAUUCAAAUUUAAACUUCAAAGGAUCGUAUUUUAAAAUCUUUUUAAAAUUUCGACUCCAAGACAUUAAACAAUCAACUUGGUACCAAUUUUGGGCGUUACGAGGGUGCUAACACUUCCUCAUGCGUAACCGACUCCCGAACCUACUUUCUCAAAAUUCGUAGACCUAAAAUCAUUUUCAAAGUGAUCCGAUCACACCUCAUUAAAAGAUCGGUGGCGACUCCCAUUUUCGUUUUUAAGUCGACAACUAAAUUUUUAUUUUUAUAAAAAAUGGUUUCGACAAAAAAUGCAUCCUAUAUUUUUAUAAUUAUACUCACGGCAUCAACGCAAUUAAACCACAUACAUCACCACACACACACACACAUAUAUAUAUACACACACAAUGUUUUUGAGACUCAAGAUAAAUAUUAAAUACAAGUAUGUGUUUGAUGUAAUGAUACUCACUCUUUUCAAAAAAAAUCUUUUUCAUGUAUUCAAAGAUAGGUGUUGUGUCGUCCCUUACAUGGCUCACACGUGGUAAAUUAUUUUGUAAAUUUUAAAUUUUAAAAUAAUUGUUCAUAAUUUAUUUUGUUAAAUUUAAGUCCAUAACAAUGAUAUCAAACAUUUUUAUUUCAAAUGAUCAAAUCAACAAAUUUCAUAAUAAAAAAUUUAAUUGAGUUAAUAAUUGGACUUUAAUUUUGAAAUAUGAAAAAUAAAAUCAGCAAAUUCUUAAAAGUAUAUAUAUAAUGACUAAAUUGAAAAAAGAAAUCUAAAAAAACAAAAGACAAAACGUGCGUUAAGGAUAAAUUUAUAAUUCACCAAUGCAUUUUGAUGAAUUUUUAAAAAAAAAUAUUUUAAGAUAUAUCAUUUAAUAGAAGAGUUAUAUCUUGUUUAAGUAUAUAUAUGUAAAAAAAUUAUUUAAAAUUAAAUUAUUAUUUUUGGUAAAUUUUCAAUUAUGCUUUGAGAAAUUAAAAUAAUUACAUUUAGAUUGGGAUAUAUAAAACCUAAAUAAUAAAUAAACAAAAAUCAUUACAAUUUUUUUUAUUUUUUUUAAAAAAUAUUAUUAUGUUGUAAGAAAAUAAAUCAAGUGUGAUUUUGGAUGGGUGAUGGCUGUGGUACAAUGAAACUUUUUAACUCACAGUUAUAGUGAUUAAUUUCACCACCACUAUUUUUAACCUUAUCAAAAGUAAACGCACCAACAAUGUAAAGGUACACUGAAUGUUUAAUAUAGGCGUAGUGUAAUAGUCCGAUUUUAGGUCUAGUCGGAACAGUGGUUUUGAGACCACAAAUCCGACGAGGAAAAAAAAUGUAAUGCCCUGAAUUUUCAAAGGUGUCAGAACGGUGAUUCGAGAUCACUAAAUUUGACAAAUGAGUAGAAAAUAUUAUUAAUUUAGUGAGUAUAAGUUAAAUGUGAAGUUAGGAAAAUUUUUGAAAUAGUGAAUAGUACACUAGAAAUAGAUAUUAAAAUAAUUAGAAUCGAAAAUGAGGUAUCGAGACCUCGGGGAUUUUAAACCGAGCCAUAAAUAUUUUUAUAAAUAUUUAUGGAGUGUUAAAAAGUUAGUAUUAAAGUUUCGUUAAGAAAUUUUAAAGUUCCGAUAAUUAAUUGAACAAAAAGGACUAAAUUCUUAUAUUAACUUCAAAUUGUGUCAUUCAUUUUCAAAAUAUUAUUCAUUUAUAAAUCGUUAUUCAAUUUCAAAAUGUUUUUUUAUUUUUAUUGCAGAAGCUUUUAAACAGUUUGCUUAUUCGAGGUGUUUUUGAUAAAACAUUAAUUUAAUUUGAAAACCCGAGUUUUACCUAACACUAGCAGAUUUAAAUCAUAAAACCGUAUAAAAUCCAAAUUUUAAACCAAAAUUUAUAAAUGCCAUAAUUACAGCAAAAUACUCCCAAAUAAAAGUAAAAUCAUAAAUAGGUAGUAAACAGUGUAAAAGAAGUCGUAUGGCCACCAUUGAGUCAUCCGCUGCACCGAUUCGCCUAUAUCUGGGGAUUACCUGUACAGAUUAAACAGAAAGUGUGAGUUUAUGCAAAGUCAGUGUGUAAUCCCCAUACAAAUGAACAGACAGUAAACAAAUAAUCACAGUCUGGGCUUAAGCUUUUUUCAGUAUCAAUAUCAGUCCAGUUUGGGCCUUAGCCCAUCUUAGUACAAAAACAGUUAUGCAGUAGGGCUUUAGCCUAUCAUAGUAUCAGUAGCAGUAACAGAUAUGCAAUCACAAAAAUCCUACCCAUCCAGCCUCUACAUACCAUCUCCGUCCAACCCUACACUCCAUGUGGGGAUAUAAUCAACCCACCCGUCCCUACACUCCAAGCAGUACUGAAUGCGGCACUAGAAAGUAGUUUGCAGCUGAGCUGCUAGUAAAUUAGGCUCGAGGCCUUUCAAUACACUUCCCCCGAACAAUAUAAUCCCCCAACCCAGUGCAAUGCAAUAUACAAAUAUGACAUGCUAUAACAUAAUAUCACACAUGUAAACAGGGCAUACAGUAUCAAAUCAGUAGGACAUCAUCAUGCUUAAUCAUAUCAGUCAUACAGUCAUUUUAGUCAAUUAGGGGUCUAGAUAAACUUACCAAACCUACAGUAGGUUCACAGUCGACUUGAGCGACCCGUACAACCUUAUCAGUCAAAUAGUGAAAAUGGGCCUACAAGCCCAUGAUGUUCGCCCAUGUGGGCCCACAUACUCAUGUGGCCCAGAUGACCUAAAUUGUUCAUAUGCGUUUCCACUAUUUAUUUAUAUGAUCCUUCAAAGCUGUCUACUUGAGUACUAUUACUAAAUUAUUUGUAUCUUAAUCUACAGAAUCCUGAAUUAAGAUCUGUAAAUUUUUCGUGAAACCAGAUUCACAUAUCUUCUUACCAUAAAAUUUUCAGACUUAUUGGUUUAGCUAAUAAGUACAGUUUAUUCUUUAAAGUUUCCCCUGUUUUGUUGUUUAACAAUUUUAAUCUUUCUGCACUAAAAAUUAAUUAUCUUCUCGUACAGAAUUCAGAUGAUGUUCCUGUUUGUUCUUAUGAAAAUAGAUUCAUUUAGGAUUUUAAACAUAUAAAUUCUAACCAUAAUUAUUUUUAUACAAUUUUUAAAAUUUUUCCAAAAUCAGGACAGGGGAUUCUGAAAUCAUUCUGACAUUGUCUCAUUAAAAUCCAAAUAUCUCAUAAUAUGAAAUUCUUUUUCUUACUUCGUUUAUUCUAUGAUAAACUAGACUCAAAUAUCUUUAAUCUCAUAUUCUUUGCAUCCUCUAAUUUGAUUUCCACAAUUUUUGGUGAUUUUUCAAAUUUAGCCUACUGCUGCUGUACAAACAGUAAGCAAUUUCGGCUUUUCGUCGAAUCCCUUAUUUUUGUGUUUCGGGUACACACUUGGUAUUGUUUCGCUGAAAAUAUGCUCCCAAGCACUCCAAGACCUAAAAAUAAAUAAUUAGAGCCCAAUUUAGAUCACUAACGAAAACUCACAACUGAAAAUUGUCUACAUCAAAAUCGAUAGCGAACCUAAACACUUACCGGCAACAAACCCAAAUUUCUAACACUCAAUUUGCUUGUGAAGCCGCAAUUGAUUUUUUAUUUUUGCCUAAACCAAGAGAGCCAAAAUAAUUCUUUUUAGGAAUUAGCUAAGAAACAAUAAAAUAGAGGCAGACAGAUACUUACAGAACGAGUGUAUACAAUUGCUGGCUCGAAAGUAGGCAAGUAGAAAAAUCAAACAAACAGGGUGGACUAAGGAGCAAAAAUUCGGCAAAGCAAAGAAAAAAUCGAAAGAGAUGUGGGGAGAAAACGUCAAAAAAAUGGAGAGAAAAACGACUCGUUUUUUUUUUGAAAAAGGAAAAAAAUGAUCAGAUUUUGGAUAAAAAUGAUCAGAUUUUGGAUAUAUUCCCCUAUAAUCCCCUAAUUCACUCCUAAAAUCGCUCCCUCACUUUGCACUACACAUCCACCACCCAGAAACCCAGUUCAACACAACUCUUGCCGAAAUUAGGAGGAAAAAAAAACCCUUACUAUCCCAAAGAUUCAAACCCAUGACCUUCACCAUAAUAACACACCAUUUAACCACUAAAUCAAGAAACCCAUUUUGAUGUAAUUUACCCAACAAUCAAAUAAAAGCCUACUAAAUAAGAGUAAGGUCCAAUUCAAUCAAAAUACCAAAAUUUUCCCAAGCAAAGGCUUGAACUUGGGAUCUCCAAAGCACUCCCAGAACACAUAACCAAUAAAGUUGACAGAUAUUUGUACCAUAUUUUUAAAAUAACGAAAUUAGAAAUUUUCGGAAGUUACAGGUAGUUUAAAGAAUUCAAGAUGAUGUUUGUUGCUUACAACCAUUAUCAACAAAUUUAAUCUCCUUUUUCUUAUUAAGAAUUUGCUUGUUGAUGGGGAAGUCGUCCUUAGACGAACUUUAUCGAGAAUGCAACAACCAGAGUUUGGGAGACUGUCGCGAUUACUAGAUUUCGUGUUGGACUAGAUACUUACCGAUAUUUAUAUUCGUAAAUUGGAAGAAACCGAAGCCGACAGCAGUGGCAAAACUAAAGUCAGGCAGGACUAGAUCUUUUUCGAUUCGUAAUUUGGAAGAAACCCAAACCAACAAUGGUGGCCAAACUGUCAUGAUUACUAGAUUUUGUGGGUAUAGGACUAGAUCUUUUCCAAUAUUUAUGUUCGUUAAUUAAUUCGUGUUAUUUAGGUCAACAAAAACCCUAAUCACCAUUCCUAAUAAAUAUUUGUUGUUAUUAUAUAAAUUAUAUAAUUUUUAUUUUGAUAAUAAUUUAAUAAAUACAUAAUAAAACUCAAGUAGUUCUAUAAAAAUAUUUUGUUAGUUAUUGUAUGACAUAGAAUAUUAUUGACUAUUUAUAAAUUUAUUUUAAUAUCUUUUAUGACAAUUUUAAAUUUUCGCUAAUGAGUUUCAAGUGGUGAUUUAACGAUUAGUACAGUUGAUCAAUAUUCAUCAACUAGUAGAAAAAUAUAACUUAGAUCCAAGUCGAUCUGAUGAUUAGAGAUAGGAUAAUAAAAUUGUUUGGGUCUUGGUUCAUAGAUUUAUGAUGUUCAAAGUUAUUUUCUAAAAAAAAAAACUAUAGAAAAGAAAACGAAUUAGAGGUUUCGAUUGGUGUAGGUGAUGAGAACAGAAAAGACCGUACAACAAUGAUUUUAACAACUCAAUGACUUAAAAAAACCUUUUGAAUAAUUAAAUUAUAUUUUGUAAUUUUUUAAAGUUUAUGUUUCAGUCACUAGGAUAGUAAGUUUUUUCUUUUUUAAAGUUUGGCUAAUGAGCUUCAAACGGUGAUUCAACGAUCGGUACAGUUGAUCAGUACCCAUUAACUAGUAGAAAAAUAUACUCUAGAUCCAAAUUGAUAUGAUGGCUAAUGUUAGAGAUUGCAUAAGAAAAUAAUUUAGAUUUUAGUUUAUAAAUUUGUUCAAAGCUAUUUUAUGAAAAAAAUGAAUUAAGUUUAGGUGAUGAGAACAAAAAAGGUCAUACAACAAUGAUUUUAACGGUCUAAUGACUUAAAUAAAAACUUUCAAAUAAUUAAAUAAGCAUUUUAAUGACAUGUAAUUUAAAUCAUUUAAAAUAAAUAGUAUUUGUUAAAUAUAAAUAUCAAAUAAUAGAAUUUGAAAAUCAAUCAACAAGUGUAAAACAAUGAGAUGGAUAUAUAUAGGAUGCAAGCACAAAUAGUAAAAAUAUUGACUUAAUUAGUUCUCUUUCAAAUUUAAAAUUAUCAUUAAAAAAAAAGUUGGAAGUUCUCUCAACAUGUCUCAGGUGUAACACCCCCUAACCCUAAACCGUCGUCGGAACAGGGUUACGGAGUAUUACCAGACAUAUCCAACAAUUUACUAAUAAUUCACAAAUCAAUAACAUAAAUAGUAUAAUUUAAUUAUUAAGUUCCUAUAAUGAACCCUCGAGGUCCAAAACACGUAUUUUUGUAAAGAGAGACCAAUUUGCUCAUUUUUAAAUUUGAUAGGGACCAAACUGUAUUUAUACUAAUCUGUUAUUCGAAUUAUUUGAGUUAUUCAAAUUGUAAAAAUUUAACUCGACUCGAAUUCGAAAUUUAAAAUUUCUUAUUCGAGUUGACUCAAAUAAUUUGAAUAACUUGAUUUUGUUAACUCAAAAUUUAAAUUUAUUUUCGUUUUUUCGAAUUAAAUCAAAAUUUAUUCCACCGUAAUUAGAUAUAAUCAUAGUAAUUGAGUUAUUUGAAUUAUUGUUCGCUAUUGGCCCUUAAUGAACCUUCUCUCUCCCCUUGGGGUGCAUGCAUGGGCGUAGACACAAAUACAUCAAAAUUUUGAAGAUUUGUGAUAACCGUCAUAGUGGAUCCCAAUCUUCCAACUAACAUCGACCAAAGCCUUUUAGGUAGCAUGUCAUCUUUAGAGCACCUUUUUGAUGAAUGAGCACUACACAAGGGGUUGUUUUUUUGGGUUAAAUUCUAUUGUUGGUCCUAAUACUUGCAUAGAGUUUGAGUUAAAACUUAUAAAUUUAAAAUUUUUAAUUUGUCAGUAGUUUCUAUUAAAACUUAUCAAUUUUUAAUUUUGGGUUAAAUUUUUUAUUUUUUAAAUUUAAAACUUCAUAAAAAUUAUAAAAAUAUUUUUAAAAAUUAUAAAAUAUUAAAAAUAUUUUUUAAUAUACCAUAUUAACAAAGUUAACAAAUAUUAAUUUUUCAUUCAUUUUACGGUAAAUUUGUUCAAAGCUGUUUUAUGAAAAAAAUGAAUUAAGUUUAUGUGAUGAGAAUAAAAAAGGCCAUACAACAAUGAUUUUAACGGUCUAAUGACUUAAAUAAAAACUUUGAAAUAAUUAAAUAAAUAUUUUAAUGACUUUGAAUGUAAUUUAAAUUAUUUAAAAUAAAUAGUAUUGUUAAAUAUAAAUAUCAAAUAAUAGAAUUUGAAAAUCAAUCAACAAGUGUAAAAUAUUUAAUAAAUGGUAUGAUUUUAAAAGAGAAAUAAAAAUUAUCAAGUGAUAAAUAGAGGUGAUCAUGGGCCGCGUCGGGCCUAGAAAAAAAUUUCGGCCCGCGUCCUAGGCCCGGGCCCCGCCCGACUAGAAAUAUGGGCCUAAAAUUUUGUCCAAGCUCGACCCGAGAAAAAAUUCCUAAGCCCGAGCCUGGCCCGGCCCGUUUUUAAUAAACACAAAAAUUGUAUUUUAAAAAUAAAAAAUAAAAAAAGUAUUUUAAAAAUAUUUUAAAAUUUAAAAAUUUAAAAAAUAUAUUUAUUGUAUAUUCGGGCAGGGCCCAGGCCAAAAAAGUUUUACCCGAGGCCCGGCCCGUUUUCUAAACGGACAUUUUUUUUGUCCAAACUCAUAUUUCGGGUCUAUAUUUUUACCCGAACCCUUCCAUAUUUCGGGCGAGCCGUCGAGUCAAGCCGGGCCGCCCAACCCAUGAUCACCUCUAGUGAUAAAUAUAUCUUGAAGAUUUUAUCCUAAAUUGUUAAACACAUUAAAUAAGUCAAUAAUGAUUAGAUUACGACAAAAUAAUUAUUUAAAAAAUAAAUAUAUUUAUUAAAAGAUUAUGUAAAAGGAUAAAGUUAAAAGAUUUAAAUUUCAGGAAUUAAAUCUUGAUAUAAACAUUAAUACAAAUUUUUAAAAAGAAAAGAUAUGAUUUGAUAUUCACAAAAUUUCUUUCUUCUCUAAUAAUAGAUCGGUGAACUAUCUAGUAGUGUAGAAGAACCAAAGCUUAUUAUCAGAGAGAACCUUCGUUGCCGGAACAUGGCUUGCCUCAAUGCCCGACGAUCUCUAUCAACCCUUUUAAGCCGCGCCCUCACUUCUUCUUCUUCUUCCUUUCCUUCCCGUUCUCGCCUCACUGUUGCUCUCCUGAACAAAACCCCAAUUUUUAUCCCCGAUGCAACAAAAAUCCUGACCCGAACCAAGACAUACGGGUCCGACUACUCGCCUUUUCGUGACCCUUCCCGAUUACCAGCGGUUGUCCUAUAUGGCCGUGGUGACGAACAUUGGCUUAUCAUUUUGGAAUUCCCAGAACGCCCAAAACCUUUGGAAGAAGAAAUGAUCGAUACCUAUGUUAAAACUCUCGCUUCUGUUGUCGGCAGGUUUUUAAAUUAUAAUUAUUCCUUCAGAUUUCAUUAAAUUUGGGUUUUAUUUUUCUCUUUUGUUUGUUCUGAUCUUGUAGUGAAGAGGAAGCGAAAAAGAGAAUAUACUCUGUCUGUACAACGAGGUAUAGUGGGUUUCGUGCUUUUUUUUCUAAGGAUUUGGUCGAAAAACUUAGAGGUAAUUUCAUUUCCCAUUUACUACGGUUUAGGGUUUACAUGGUUUUCCCUUUUUCUAGUGUAAUUGGAACAAGAAAUGGGUUUUUUGAAACAAUGGGUUUUCAGACAGAAAAAAGAAUUAACAUUGGUUUUCAUUGUGUGUGAUGUGUUGUUGGCUGUUUUAGGGUUUUAAACCUCCCGAUGUGAUUGCUUUCUAUACUAAUUUAUUAGGGUUUAAACGGUUUUUCCCAAUUGCUUUUGUGAGUGUUUUUGUACUUACAAUUGAUGAGGCAUCCAAUUUGUUCUAAAAUCAAUGGGCAUUAUGUUUUUACAGAGUUACCUCGUGUACGCUGGGUUUUAUCAGAUGACUUUAUCUAUGGUCAAGAUCGUUAUUAUGGAGGUGGGUAGUUUAAAGAUAAGCUUGUUGCUUAUAGCCAUUGAAGUUCCCAUUGUCAAUAAAUUUAAUCUCUUUUUUCUCAGGAGAUUUGUUUGUUGAUGGGAAUGUGAUUCAUAGACCCCCGCAGCACGGAGUUGGAGAAAGUGCUGAUUAUGAUCUUUGGGUUAUCAAAUUCGAAUCCCCGAGAAAUAUCGAUUUCUAUGUUAAAUUCCUCGCUUGUUUAGUCGGCAGGUUUUUGAUUCCUUCAAUUUUGGGGUUUUUUUUUCCGGGAAUUUGAGAAUUGGGUUUUAUUUAUCUUUUUCUGUUUGUAGUGAAGAGGAAGCGAAAAGGAAAAUAUACGCCGAUGGUGGUAGACUAACGAGGUAUACUGGGUUUUGUGCUGUUAUGUCUAAGGAGAUGGCUUAUGAACUUGAAGGUAAUUGUAUUUCUCAUUUAUUAGGGUUUACAUGUUGUUCUCAUUUAUUAGAGUUCAGUGUUUAGAAUUGGCGUUUUGUUUGUCUAGGGUUUCCUCUUGUAAAACGCGUUGAUCGGGUUUCAGAGGCCGAAAAUGACGCAUAUCUUGAAGCUAUGGAAUUAUUAUCAUGGGAAUUCCUUGAUGCUGUACCAACCUUUCAGAAAUUGCUAGCAAGAGAGGAGAGGAGACUGUUGCGAUUACUAGAUUUGGUGAUGCACCAGAUAUUAAACGAUAUUUAUACUCGUAAAAUGGACGAAACCGAAACUGAGGGCUAGGACCAGAUCUUUUCCGAUUUGGUGGAUUCAUAAAUCUCUUUAUUUAUUUAUUUUAAUUUCAAAAACUAUUUUAUUUAUUCGGUAUUAGAAGAGUCAUAAUUAUUUGAAUUAUUAAUUCGUGUAAUCUCCAUUCCUAAUAAAUAUUAAGUUUAUUUAUUGUUGUUAUUAUUUAAAAUAUAUAAUUUUGAUUAUUUAUAAAUUUAUUCUAAUAUCUUUAAUCAUUAUCUCAUUGUAGUCUAAAUCAUUGGUAAUAUAUGUUUUAAUUUCUGAAUUAUUCCCGCCGGACCAGUGAACAGGCCUUACUACUAGAAUAACCAACCCGGUGUCCUUAACAUUAAUUUCCCCGGAGGUGCACAAAAUUUUGGAUAUUAUUUUUGUACCACUGGUAGCAUGCUUAACUAAUAGCAAUAAUUUAUUCAGCUGCGGCUUCGGCAUGCACUUCCAUAUACAUAAAUCAAGUUAUAGGUUUUUUUUUUUUCCCUCAUGCAAUCGAUGUUCAAAGCUAAAUGAGAACACAACGAAGAUGCUUUCAUGGAAUUAGCAUAAUUGAUCCAGUUGUUCUGAGAUUCUCAGUAUUCGAAAUGUUACUGAAUUAAUAUUUAUCCACUAUACAGAUAGGGCGGAAGCCUUAUGAAGUUAUGGUUGAUUCUUCAAAGGGUUAACUCUAAAAGAAGAUCCACAUGCAAGUGGAUUACAGGAGCAGCCUAACAGAUCCCGGAUUGGUUAUUCGAAGAAAAACCCUCAAAACUCCAAUUCUGUGAUUGGGAGUAACUGAUGAAAUGAGAACCCUGAGUUCAUCUGUCAGUUCAUUCUUUGGUGUGAGUAGAAAAGAAGAUAUAGGACUUGCUUUAUCAUUCUUUUAAAAAACCAGAUCCCCUAUACACAUUUUAAAAAAAAUAUCAUCUUGUACCUUACUCUUGUACAAAAUUUGCUUAACUAUUUGAAUACAUUUGGUCAGGCAUUGAAAUGCAACAUUAUGAUACAUGUAAAAGGAACUCAUAAAGAGAACUUUGGGUUGCUUUUCCACAUGCUAUAUAAAUUAUGUACAGUGUGGGAGCUUACAUAGCCUUUGCAAAGGAACAUUGUGAUAUGUCUAUAAUGGAUAAAGGAGCAGCAACAAAAGCUCCACCAUCGGUUCAAAUGGUUGUGGAAGCAUUAGCCGGAGAUUUAGAAUGGUGAGACACGAAUGAUUCUACAAGUGGAUUCACAAGAUGUGGAGCUUCAUCCUGCAUGCACAUUACUAAUACAGCAAUGAAUUAUCAUCUUUGUUAACAGAAAAACCUGCCGAACCACAGUUUCAUGAGAGAGCAAACCUGAGGGCAGUGGCCAACAUUGGGGAGGACGACUCUACAGUAUAAAAAAUCCCCGUAGGCUCUUCCGAGUUCGAUGCUUUCCCAUGGAUCCUUGUCACCCCAUGCUAUCAAGACAGGACACUGCAAAAAGAGAGAAACAAGCAACAUAAACUAACACGGAAACUAAAGGGAAAAGAAGACGGCAUACGAGAAAUCAGUUUAAGAAACUUACUUCAACCUGCGGAAGUAAUUCCUCGGGCAGGGGACCACCUGUGUAGCAUAUGAACUCAAGAAAAACAUCAACAGCACCAGGCUCAAGUCCUGGAUGUAGGAUAAUCUGAACUAGUUCUUCGGUCACUUGAGAGGUGUCAUGGUAACACUGAAAUGAAACACCAGAAGCAAUCAAGCAAAGAUUGAUUCAUUUCUUACCAAAUUCAUCAUAGGAUACUACCUGACAAAGAAUACUUCUAACAGACUCCGGUGUGGCAACGGAUCCGAAGAAAAGUUACCGACUGCAGUGUUCCUGCCAAGAUAUCAUUACUGCCCGAAAAAUCCAUAUGGCUAGUGCAACAUUUCUAAACUAGAAUGUAAAAAUAAAAAUGGUUCCAUAUCGUUUUUUUACCUAAGCAAACUCCGAAAUGCGCAAUGAAAGGUCUUCCAAACCAUGGUUGCUUUUUGACAUGAAGCAUGCGCAGAGAUAUAUUUAAUAGGAAUAAACCCCUACAGAUCUCCGGCUUUGCUACUGCAGAUUGAAGGCCAACCAGUCCUACGUGAUGACGCCCAUUAUUAUACAGACAUAAGCAUCAAGCAUAAAAUGAAUUAAAACACUAAUAAGGGAAAUUACCUCCAAUAGAGUUACAAAUAAAGAAAGCAUUAUCUUUAACCACACUGCUACAAAAAUCAUUGAGAACCCCAAGUCUCAAAUAUAUAGAAUGAGUCCCCAACUUCACGAGGAUUCGGUUUGUCCGAGUAUCCGUAGCCAAUAAGAUCAAUUGCAUAUACCCUGUGUGAUUUUGCUAGAACAGUGAAAGAAACGCAGGUAAGCUUGAACACUUUAGAAGAAAACUGUUUACAAUUUUAAUUGUUUCUCUUUACUUAGUUCAACACCUAGUCAAAUGAAAAUAUUUAUAGGAAGCAAAUAACUUCCUUGCGUAACAAAUUAGCUAAACACCUUAACAGACCCUAACUACCUCUCUAACCAAUACUAUCUUUAACAUGCAUCCAUCUUCUCCACCGAAACAACCCGAAGAAAAUUCCUAAACCGAGUAAAACACGAAACAGACAGUGGUUUAGUUAAAACAUCUGCAACUUGAUCGUACGCAGGAACUUCCCCAACCAAAACAGAACCAUCUGCAACCUUUUCACGAACAAAAAAUAGAUCUAACUCCACAUGUUUGAAUUUGGAGUGUAACACAGGAUUGGCAGCAACAGCUACUGCACUGGAGCUAUCACACCAGAUAUUGGGCUGAGUAGGUAACCCGAUAUGUAACUCUUGAAGUAACGAAAGUAUCCACAAAACAUCACUGGUGACAGCAGCCAAACUUCGAUAUUUAGCUUCAGCUGUAGACCUAGAUACCACCUGCUGUUUCUUCGAAGACCAAGAUACGGGAUUAGAUCUAAAAAAUACACAAUAUCCUGAAGUAGACCGCCGAUCAUCAAAAUCCAACCCCCAGUUUGCAUCCGAAAAUCCAACUAGAGACAAAGAAUCAGACCUACGAAAAAUAAUUCCAAAAUCAAGAGUACCAGACAAAUAUCGCAAUAUCCUUUUAAGAGCAGCCAUAUGAACUGUGGUAGGAUUAUGCAUGAACUGACAAAUCCUGUUAACUGCGUAUGCAAUAUCAGGCCUAGUCAUGACAACAUACUGUAGCGCACCAGCCAAACUUCUGUACUCCGUUGGAUCAGACAAAGGAUCACCGUCACUCUUAGAAAUAUGCGACGAACUAAUCAUGGGCGUAUGAACACUUUUGGCAUUAGACAAACCACUACGCUUCAACAUAUCUUGAAUGUACUUCCUCUGACACAGAUGAAGACACCUAGAUGAGGACUGGGUAACCUCAAUUCCCAAAAAAUAAUGCAAAUCACCCAUGUCUUUCAACGAAAAUUCAUCAUUCAACAGCUUCACAAACCAGUCAAUAGAUGACGGCACAUCCCCAGUUAUGAUUAUGUCAUCAACGUACACAAGAACAUAGAUAGUGCAGUCAGACUGAACUCGAACAAAUAAAGAUGCAUCCGACUUUGAACCAGAAAACCCAACCGUCAGAAGAAAAGCUUUCAACUUUUCAAACCAAGCUCGUGGAGCCUGACGCAGACCAUACAAAGCCUUUUUUAACCGACAGACCAAGGGUCUCCCAUUAACGCCAAGCUUAACAUAACCAGGAGGUUGUUGCAUGAACACUUCACAAUCAACAUCCCCAUUCAAGAAGGCAUUGUUGACAUCAACCUGUCGGAGCAACCAUUCUUUAGUAACUGCAGCUGACAAUAUAACCCUUAUAGUGACGGGUUUUACAACUGGAGUAAACGUCUCUUGAAAAUCACAACCUGGGACUUGCGAGCAGCCUUUCGCAACCAGACGUGCUUUAUAUCGUUCUACUGUACCAUCUGGGUUUUUCUUGACUUUAAAUAACCAUUUACAACCAAUAACUUUGUGACCAGAUGGUAAAGGUACCAAUUCCCAAGUACCAUUACGAAUCAGGGCAUCAUACUCAGCUUGAGCAGCAGUUUGCCACUCUGGACUCGCAAAGGCCUCCUCAAUCGUUGACGGCUCUACAACUUCAACAGCAAGCACUCUAGGUUUAAAAAUACCCGCCUUUGACCUAGUGGUCAUGGGAUGAAUAUUCACUUCAGGUGCAACACUCUCUGGUCCUGUAGGCGCAGAUGGAAUCAGAACAACUGGUGUGGGAGACUGAUCACCAGACAAUGAUGGACUAUUAGGAGAGGAAAUACUGUGAGGGCUAGUAUUUGUUGGAUCAUCAUGUACUCCACUCUGAGGAACCAACACCCCAUUCGAAUAUGGACUACUAGGAGAGUUAAUAUUUGUUAGACCAUCAUGUACUCCACUUUGAAGAACCAACGCCCCAUUCGAAUUACUCGGGUACAGACACGCAGAACCAGUGCCGGAGUUCUGAUGACACGACAUAUUAGAUUUGAGCAUAGGCAAACAAGCAGAUAUAGUACUCACCUUCUUAGAAGGCAGUGAUAAAGACGUCGGAGAUAGAAAUCGUGAUUCAUCAAACUCAACAUGCCGAGAGACAAUGAUUUUACCAUCAGGCAGAAGACAUUGGUAUCCCUUGUGACAUGAGCUGUAUCCCAAAAACGUGUAUGGUUGUGACCGAAAUUCUAGCUUGUGACAAUGAAAUAGACACAAAAAUGGAUAGCAACAACACCCAAAAACACGUAAAUGAUCAUAAGUAGGAUCAUGUCCAUACAAGACCCUAUAUGGAGUCUUACCAUCCAGUACCGGUGUGGGAAGACGAUUUAUUAAAUGAACUGCACAUGUGAACGCAUAUGCCCAAAACUUCAUUGAAAGUCCCGCUUGAGCUAAAAGUGUGAGUCCCAUUUCCACAACGUGUCUAUGUUUCCGUUCCGCAACACCAUUUUGUUCAGAAGUGUGAGGGCACGUAACUCGAUAAAUAAUACCGUGAGAAGCUAGAACUGGAGCGAAGGCUCGAUACUCCCCACCCCAGUCACUCUGAAACUGUUUGAUGGACUUUCCAAAUUGAUUCUGAACUAGUUUCUGAAACUGAUUGAAGCAAUUCACAGCCUGAGACUUCUGCCGUAUUAAGUACACCCAAGUGAAACGAGAACACAUAUCGACAAACGAGACAUAAUACCAAUUGGUUCCAGAAGCAACUGAGGCAGGUCCCCAUACAUCCGAAACAACCAACGAAAAUGGAUCAGUAUAUUCAGUAGUAGAAACAGGAAAUGGCAACUUAUGAAAUUUUCCCUUUUUACAAGGAGUACAAACAUCACUUAUAGCAACUUUAUUCAUAGCAACUUUAUUUAACACGACAUGACAUUUAUCAAAAACAUCAUUAACAACAUUCAACGAUGGAUGACCAAGAAGUUUAUGCCAUAACAAACACAACUCACUGUCAGCAGUCCGAGUUGGAAUUUCAACUUGAGCAGUAGAUGGAUGAAACGUAACAGGAACAGACGCAUCUGAUAUGGAAAACUGAUAUAGCCCAUUAUGAAUACGGCCCAUCAGCAAAAUCUCCUGUGUCAUGCUAUCCUUAAUCACACAAUAAGUUGAAUGAAAUUCAAAGAACACACCAUUAUCAGUUGCAAACUGUGAUACUGACAAUAAAUUCUUCCUAAUAGCCGGAACACACAAAACAUUAGAUAAUCGAAGCACCCUAGAACGAGUAGAUAUAUCACCCUGACCGACAGAUGAUAUCAUAGCAGGUGUACCAUCACCCAUUAAAAGAGAGGACUUACCUGAAUAUGGAACGGCAUCACGGAUUGCCGAAUCAUCUUGACACACGUGAUUACUGGCACCCAAGUCAAGAUACCAUGAUGUUGUGCCAGCUUGUCCAGGAAUCGGGGAGUCAGAACCAUCCCCACUAACCCCACAUUGUGUAGAGUUAAUAUGCGAACCUGAGAUAGACGGAUCAGAAUAAUCAGAAGCAUGUAAAUCUCCUAACCUAGGAAGUCCAAAACACGGAUUCCACGCGGAGAAAACACGAGCUCGUGGUUUAGUCCGCCAUGGAACACCAAAACCAUCAACCGGUUUAGAUGAAUCAAGCUGCACAUUAUUCGAAAUAGGGUUAGCAUCCAAUAACGAAUCAUUUAGCCCAAUAUUACCAGUCGGACGAACCCCAUCACGCGGCCCAAAAUUUCCAGUAAUUGCACCAUGAGUUCCUCCACCAUUCGGGCCAAGAGUAUGUGGCCUAUACUCAUGAUUUUCAACAAUAGGCCUAAGCCAACCACCAUUCGGGCCAAGAGGUUGUGGCCUAUACUCAUGACUUUCAAUAUUUGGCCUGGGCCCACCACCCAUCGGUCCUGCAUAAGGCGCACUAAAAUUAUUAUAUCCAUCAGCACAAUAAUUUUGACCAAUUUCAAAACUAUUUUGACCAUAUCCAUAAUAAUUUUGACUAGAAGCCACAUUAUUCUGACUAGUGCCACCGCCAUGUUGACCAAAAUUUGAAACUCUAGGCCGUGUAUUCGGUGGUGAAGACCAGCCACGAUCCUCAGAAGCACAAAAAUUUUGCAUCGAAAACUGCAUCGGAGAAGCCUCGUCACGGUGGUACCGAUAGUAGCAACGCUGAGCCACGUGACCGAACCUGGAGCAGAUCUGACACUGGAGACGCGGCCUGAAGUUCCUACCACGGCCACGCACAGUCAAACGACCCCCACGCACCGAACCAUCCGAGGCCGAAAACGAUGAUUCUUCUACCAUAUUUGCACUGUACAAAACUUCCUGAUUCGGCGGAACAUGAUGAGUUUCACAUUCAAUUAGAGCGUCCACCAUACGCUGAAAUGGUAGGGGAGUCGGUGACAACGAAGCAGAGGACACCACGCCUUCAAAUUCGGAUGGAAGACCCGCAAGCAUGACCGCCGUCCGCUCUGCCACUGAUACAGAUGUUCCAGACGCUUCUAGAUGUGCAGACAGACUCUUUAGUUUGGCAACAUACUCUCGGAUCGACAAACUCCCUUUCUUGAAGGAGUGAAGUUCAUGACGCAGCCUGAUACGAGUCACAAAAGCCCAAAUUCUUGAAGGCGAGGCCCAAUAAGCAAAUUCCCAGCCCAAUCAAGAAAUCCAUCCAUACUUAGUUGAAAAUCAGGCCAAAUUGUCAAAGUGGCCCAAGUUGUAAAGUUUUAUUUUUAUUUUUAUUUAUUUAUUUACUUAGUUUAAAUUUUUAUGUCAAUAUUCAGUCCAAGAGUCCCAGAUAAAAUGACCUUUGACCGAAUUUCCAUAUUAAAAUAAUUAGGAGUUUUUUUUUAUUUUAGUUUUCUAAUUAGAUUAGGACUAGUUAUAAGGCAUAUUUAAAGGCAUGGCUGUCCACCUGGUUAAACACUUAUCAUUAUUAUUAAAAUUUCAGAUUUGUUGAGAGCAGAAUUUUCUUUGAGUUUUCUCCAAGAUUUCUCUCUUGAGUUUUCUUUAGAAGUUGUUUUAACAAUCUUGUGAUUGUGGGAGCCAUCUUCAACCUUCUUCUUGCCAUUGAUAUUCUUUGGAGGGGAGAUUAGAGCCGUUUGAAGGGAGUUGUGAGAUCUUUCGAGAUUUCAAGGCUUCUUAGGACUUAUCUUUUAAUUUCUUACUGUCAAUUCUUUCUUUAUUUCUACUUGUGCUGAAUCAUUAUCUAAUCUAUUUUCUGUUCUUAUUGUGUUUUCAGCCUUUUUCUAUCUUAAGGAAUCAGCCCAAAAAUCCCCAAUUUCUAGGGUUUUUCCAUACUCUUUUUGGGUGAAAUUAGAUUGUCGAAAUUUGGGGAAAACUAUCUUGGUGUUCAAUUGGGCAGAAUCACAAUCUCCUUGAGGGUUUCAAGAACCCUAACACUUAUUUCUAUUCUCAAUUUGAUUCUUUGCUGAUUUGGGGAUUUUAUUUCAGAUCUGAAAAUUUAAAAAUCUAAUCUUUUAAUUUUCUGUUUCGUUUCAGAUCUAAUUGUUUAGGGUUUUCGUAGGAGUUUCUCGUGACUUGGCAACUCGAUCUUGGUCCGCGCGCAACCCCGUAUCACAGCCUUUCUUGUCGUAGAUCCGUAUCGGCGGCGAACAUCGCCAACGCCGUAGUCCACACCUCGGAUGCCGAUUGCACAUCCAUAAAAGAGGAUAUAAUGGUCGAGCUUAUAGUAGAAAGAAGCCACGAAGUAAUAAGAUUUUCCUGUUGUGUAAACACAGAUGCCGCCGGAUUAAGUACAAGAGCACCGUCCGAUGCUUGUACAAAUCUCUGCGGCGCAGACACAGAUCCAUCCAGAAAACCAAACAAAUCAUAUCGAUUAACAAUAAAUCGAACCUGUUGCUUCCACUAAAGAAACGUCCCUUCAUCAAGCUUCACGACCUCAUGCCGAGGAAACGAGUUCACCACCCGAUCAGCAGUGAAGACUGAGCCAUUCAAUUCAACGGAGUCGGAGGCAGCAGAUUUUGUCGUGGCCAUUAUCAAGAUCUCUUAGCGACUGAUACCAUGAAAGAAACGCAGGUAAGCUUGAACACUUUAGAAGAAAACUGUUUACAAUUUUAAUUGUUUCUCUUUACUUAGUUCAACACCUAGUCAAAUGAAAAUAUUUAUAGGAAGCAAAUAACUUCCUUGCGUAACAAAUUAGCUAAACACCUUAGCAAACCCUAACUACCUCUCUAAACAAUACUAUCUUUAACAAACAGGAAUAUUUUUCCUCCAAUGAUUACUGUACUAAGCAAGACAUUAGAAGAACUGACAAUUAAGCAUGAACGCAUGGAACCAAGUUAUUUAAAGGAAACCUUUGAAACGAUUAAUAAUUGAUACACAUUUGAAACAUGCAUAUACAAACUGCACAUGCAGAAACCAAUCACUUGUUUGCUAAUGAGAAGAAAAAUUCAACUAUGCAGACCUGUUUGCUCCAAAACCAUGUACUAAAACCAAGGCAGGACUGCUCCUCCCAGAACACUGAUAGCGAGUAGAAGAGCCCUUCCAGUUCCAUGUACUACAGAAACAAUAGAUACAAUGCAACAACAUCAAAAAAUUAAAGAAAAUUAUAUUAAAUUUGUUUAAUUUGUUAUUUGAUUUUACAAAUUUUUUAUGAUAUUUAUUUUUUAUUUAAUUUGGUACACUUAUUUAAUAAAAAUUAUAUAUUUUAGUUUAGAUCUAUAUAAAUUUAAUUUUUUAAAUAUAUUGUUCAUGUUUUGUUUAGGGGCGAAGCCAGAACAAUUUUGCAUGGGGGCCAGAUGAAAUUUUAAUUUUUUAUAGUCUAUAUCUUUAAAAUUUUUAAAGGAUUAAAUUGAAUUUUUAUAAUUUUAGAGGGGCCAAAGUGUAAUUUUACCUUUACUAAUUUAAAAUUUUUAAAAAAAUUCAAAAACCUAAAUAGUAAAUUUACAUUUUAGGGGGACCGGGACGCUGCCAGCCCCUAGAUUCGCCCCUGAUUGUGUUAUAGAAAAAUAAUUAUCAAACAUAUUUUCAUCUUUUUAUUAUUAAAAACAAUUUUUUUUCUAUUUAUGAUACGCAUCUUCUAUUUUUUAAAAUAAGAAACUAAAAAUUAUUUUUUAAAUAAUAAAAUUUUAAAAAAUAAAAUAAAAUAUUAAUUUUCAAUUAAUUUAAUCUACUCAAUAGUUUAACAAACAAACCUUACUUAUUUUUAAAUAUUGUACUAAUUUUUUUUGCAUAUUAAAAAAACAAUAAUCGCUUUUAAUCAAUAAUUACUUUUCUUUGAAUGCAAGAAUUGAGAAAAACAAUUAAUUCAUAAAAUAGAAAAUAUAUAUUUGCAAAACUACAUUUGUAAUUUCAUUUAAAAAUGAAAAAUGAUUUUAUCUAUUUUCCUUUAAGAAAAUUAUUCCAUAUAUCGUCACUAAAGCAUAGCAAAUUGUUUGUUAAAAAUUAUAAUUUUUGAGAGAGGUUAAGUCUCGAACCUUCAACAAAAGGUAUUAUUCCACUAAAGGAAUUUGUCUCUUUUAAGGAAUACAUCGGUGGAUGUAAAUGUUGAAUACAAUGUAUUAUAUAUUAUAUAAAGUAUUUUUCAAAUAAAAUAUAUAUUAUUAAAGUUUUAUAAUAUUUAUAAAAUAUACAACAAUCAUGUAUGUACAUAUAAUUUAUGUUAUUAUUAUUUGAAUUAUUAAUUGGUGUUAUUUAGGUGAAUAGAAACUCUAAUCACCAUUUCUUAUUUAUUGUUGUUAUUAUAUAAAAUAUAUAAUUUUGAUUUUGAUAACAAUUUAAUAAAUACAUAAUAAAUAAUAGAAAAUAGAUACGGAUAUAAUUAAUAAAUUUCUAAUUGUGUUAAUGUGAUUAUUACUUAAAAUAUUUUAUUAGUUAAAACAUAAUUACUGAUUAUUUAUAAAUUUAUUUUAAUAUCUUUAAUGAUAAUUUUUAAUUUUUUUAAUUAUCAUCUCAUUGUCUCUCCAUUUAAACUCAAACACAUAUAACAUUAGGUUAAAUUAUAUUUAAGGUAACUGAACUUAGUAAAUUUAUAUUGUAGUUAUUGGAUUUAAAGGCGAAUUCAGGGAGCUGGCAGGGGCCUCGCCCCUCCCUAAAAUGAAAAAAAAUACCAUUUAGGCCAUUUGAAUUUUUUAAAAUUUUAAAUUAGGAAAUGUAAAAUUGCACUUUGGCCCUCCUAAAAAUGAUAAAAUAUUUAUUUAAUCUUUUAGAAUUUAUAAAAAUAUAGGCUAUUUAAAUGGUAAAAUUGUAUUUUUACUAUCGUAAAAAUUAUAAUUUAAUUUUGGCUCCCUAUUUUUUUUCCUUCGCCCAUGAUUGGAUUAUUCAAAAGUUUUUAUUUAAGUCAUUAGGUUAUUGAGUUUUUUCUUUUUUAAAGUUUGGCUAAUGAGUUUCAAGCGAUGAUUCGCGCAGUCAGUACCCAUCAACUAGUAGAAAAACAUACAUUAGUUUUCAGUCGAUUUAAUGCCUAGUGUUAGAGAUCGAAUAAGAAAACUGUUUGAAUUUUGGUUCAUAAGUUCAUGAUGUUUAAAAUUAUUUUUAUGAAAAUAAAAAGAACUAUGAAAAUAAAAUGAAUUAGAACUUUUGAUUGAUCUCGAUGAUGAGAGCAUAAAAGGUUAUACAACAAUAAUUUUAACCGUCUAAUGACUUAAAUAAAAACUUCUGAAUAGUUAAAUGAACAUUUUAUAAUUUUUUAAAAUUGAAUAACCAAAAUAUUUUAUAAUCUACCAAAGCUAAGUCUUAUCUCCCUGAAGUUGCAGUGGAGCAGAUUGAAGUUACAAAUCUCAUCUCCUUGAAGUUAUAGUGGAGCAGAUUGAAGCGACAAAUCUUGUACCUCUGAAGUUAUAGUAGGUCGGAUUAAAUCUACCAUAGCAGGUCUUAUCUCCCUGACGUUACGGUGGAGCAGACUAAAACCACAACUCUCAUCUCCCUGAAGUUGCAGCGGAAUAGGUUAAAACUACAAAUUUUUUUAUCUCUAAAGUUGCAGUGGAGUGGAUCGAAGCUGUACAGCCCAAUAUUUCCCCAGCCCAAAACCCAAUUAAACCCAAACCCGGAGCCCAAAUUGACCCAACAAAUACAAGUCCAAAUCAGAAAAAAAACUAGCCCAAUACCUAGAAACAAAAAAAAAUGAAAAAACCCUAGCUCCUAACCCUAGCCGCCGCACCUAGGGUCCUCUAACAAGUAGGCGUCGCACGUCCCAUCACCGCUCACCUGCCCUCUGCCAUCACCGCUGUAACAACCCAAUUUUGGGUCUAGUCGAAACAGUGGUUUUGAGACCACAAAUCCGACGAGAAAAAAUGUAAUGGCCUGAGUUUUCAGAGGUGUCGGAACGGUGAUUCGAGAUCACUAAAUUCGACAAAUUGGUAGAAAAUAUUAUUAAUUUAGUGAGUAUAAGUUAAAUGUGAAGUUAGAGAAAUUUUUGAAAUAGUGAAUAGUACACUAGAAAUAAAUAUUAAAAUAAUUAGAAUCGAAAAUGAGGUAUAGAGACCUCGGGGAUUUUAAACCGAGCCAUAAAUAUUUUUAUAAAUACUUAUGUAGUGUUAAAAAGUUAGUAUUAAAGUUUCGUUAAGAAAUUUUAAAGUUCUGAUAAUUAAUUGAACAAAAAGGACUAAAUUGUAACAAAUGCAAAAUUUUGGGAAAUGAUUAAAUAGCUUAAAUGAUAAAAGGAAGAGGGCUUAAAAGGAAAAUAUACCCAAGGUCUAUUUGGGCUGGACGACAAAGGCAUGAAAUCAGCAACAAAAUAAGGAGAAUUAAGCGCAAAAUUGGAAUAUUGCAAAAUUUACUUAAUAAAGUUAGGACCAAAGUGGAAUUAUCUAGAUUUCUCUUUAUUUUUCUGCAUUCUCAUCAGCAAAAACACCAUAGAAGGUUUCCUUAAGCUGUUUCUUCCUAUUUUUACUGCAGGUAAGUUCAAUUCUUGAUUAUUUCUUGAAAAUUUUGUGUUUUUGUGACUUUUAGAACUAGGCCCACUUAUUGUAUUCAUUAGUUUUUGAUUUUAUGAAAGAAGUUGAAAGUUGUUAUGAAUACAUGCUGGAAGUAUAUGAUGAUUUAGCAUGGAAUUAGAGCUUUAAAUUGUUCAUAUGCUGAUUUUAUUGAAAGAAUUAAAUAGAAAGUGAAUGUUUGGGACCUAAUAGAAAAAGAGUUUGAAGAUAGAGUUAUAUGUGGAAAUUCUGAAUUUCAAUAAUUGUGAUACAACUUAUAAUGUCUAGGUAAAUUAUUAAUUGGGAAAAUUAGAUUAAUUGAGGGGUUAAUUGAGAAAGGACCGAAUUGUAUAAACUGUGAAAUUUGGGGCAAAAUGGAAAUCAACAUUUUGCACUAAAGCAGUUUUGGACAGCAGCAGUAGUAUAACUUUGAAAAAUCACCAAAAAAUUUGGGAAUUUAAUUAGAGGGUGAAUAAAAUAUGAAAUUAAAUCUUAUUGAGUCUAGUUUCUCAUAGAAGAAACGGUGUAAGAAAUGAAAUUGUAAAUCAUGAGAUAUAAUAAAUUUUGUGAGACAAUGUCAGAAUGAUUUCGGGUUCCCCUGUUCUUACUUUGGAAAAUCAUAAAAAAUUGAAUAAAAAUAAUAAUGAGUUAUAAUUAUAUGCUUAGAAUACUUAAUGAAUCUAUUUUCAAAGGAAAUAAACAAAAACAUCAUCAGAAUUCUGUACAAUUAGCUAAUUCAUUUUUAGUGAAGGGUGGUCGGAGCUGUCAGACAGCAUAACAGGGGAAACUUUAAAGAAUAAACCGUACUAAUUGGCUGAACCAAAAAUUUUGAAAAUUUUAUGGUAAAAAGAUAUGUGAGUCUAGUUUCAGGAAAAAUUUAUGGAUAUUAAUUUGGAGCUCUUUAUCUCUGGAUAAAAAUAAUGUAGUGACUCUGACUCAGAAGGAUAACUUGGAUUUUACAUACAAUAAAAUUGUGAAAGUAUAAAUAAUAUUGUUUAAAUGUGUUAUACACAUUAAGGAUGAGGAAUGUAGAGGAGGUGGAGAAAAAUUGGGAAAUAUAUGAAUGAUUUGUGAAUAAUUGGUCAUAUACUUGAUUAUAAUUGAUAAACGAUGAAAUAGAAAUGCUUAUAUUUGUGCAUUAUUGACCAUGGUUUAAGCUCAUGUGUGAAAAUAAAGUUUCAUAGUAUGUGUGGAUGGUAUAUUCGGUAUAUGAUUUGGCAUGAAAUAAUGUCAUGAAUGGUUUAUGAAUUAACACAUGUUGCUAAGCCUGAUACAUGAAUAAAUGUUGUGCUCAUCCAUGCUUAUAAUGUUUAUGCUAUAAGUGUAUUUGGCUAACAUAUUUGGUAUACAUGCUUAGGCUUUGGCCAAGUAGUGACUAGACUAUGCCACGUUAAAUUUAUAAGUUAUGCAUUGAUAUGGUUUAUUAUGUGGUUAGACCCAAAAAGAGUUAUGUUUAAAUACAUUAGCUUGCGACUAUGGUUGAAUGAUAUGUUUAUAUCUUGUGUGAUGUGCAUAGAAAACGAGUGUGGAAAGAUAAUGAAAAGUAAGUUCAUAUGGCUGAACUUUUAUGAUUAAUUGUUAAUGUGGGAAUGAUAUAAUGUAUCAAUUCGUAUAUUGUUGUUGAAUUAUGAUUAUGGUAAAAAUAAGAAUAAAAUGAGAUUGUUAGUUCAAAUUAAGGGAUACGCAGGAUUGAGUACAUACGUUCGGUAACCUGUGAUGAUGAAUUGACAAAUAAGUCCAUGGUGGAUCCAUGGCAAAGUGUGAAACAUAGGUAUGGUAUUUCAGUGAAGAAAACCAUACUGAGUUGUGAAAAGUAGGUAUGGUAUUUCGGUAAAGAAAACCAUACUGAGUUGUGAAAAGUAGGUAUGGUAUUCCGGUAAAGAAAACCAUACUGAGUUGUGAAAAAUAGGUAUGGUAUUUCGGUAAAGAAAACCAUACUGAGUUGUGAAAAGUAUGUAUGGUAUUUUGGUAAGAAAACCAUACUGAGUUGUGAAAAGUAGGUAUGGUGUUUCGGUGAAGAAAACCAUACUGAGUUGUGAAAAGUAGGUAUGGUAUUUCCGUUAAGAAAACCAUACUGAGUUAUAGCAAUGUGAAAUAUUCAAGCAAAUCAUGGCACCAAGCAAACGAUAUACUCAAAUCCGUAAGACGAUCCUUAAUUUGACAAGUAUUUGUAGUACAAUUGAAGCUAAAUGUUGGAAUAUAAGUUGACAUCUAAUAUUGAGCUAGAUUGGAUAAAUUCAUUAUUUGAGAUUGUGGUUGGCCGGAAAUGUUACAUUAUAUAUAUUAUGAAGAAUUAUAAAAGCAUGUUAAUAAUUUUCAAAGUUUUAAUUUAGAUGAAAUUUUAUAACUCGGUUAAAUACGUCUUCAAGUGUAUGUGUUUUGGUAAUGCCUCGUACCCUAUUCCGAUGUUGGAUAUGGGUAAGGGGUGUUACAACCGCCACUGCUCCACCGCCUUCAAGUGGCCUGCAAGAAAUGACAAAAAUAAUACAAAAAUGUUGUAAAAAAAAGGCUAUAAAAGCCAUUGAAAAUCUGUAAUGGGAGGUUCUUUUCCCUUUUGAUGAACAAAAAAAUAAAAACAUAACACUUUCAAACAAGGAUUCAAGCAAAUCAGCAAAAAAAAAGAGAUAAAAAACAAGGGCAAUACGAAAGGUCCUUCUUUUUAUUAUUAUUAUUUUUUCUCUCUUUGUUUUCGGUUUUGGACUGUUUGUAUUAGAAAUUUCUUUUAUUUUUCUUUUAUUUUUAAACUAUAUAUAUAACAUAUAGAAGUAAAAAAAAUUACCUUUGAAUUUUCCACGGUGGCCGGUGCAACGGCGUCGACGGCGGUUCUCCUCACCGGAUCUGGGCAGUGCUGGAGAGGGGCAGAGGAAAUUUGAGAGCUUUUGUCUGUUUUAUUUUGAGAAAGAAGGAGAAAUGAAAAAUUUUGAAAAAAAUUUGGCUCAAAUAGGCUUCCAAAACGAUGUCGUUUUGGCCAGCCUUCUUAGGUACCAAAAUGGCGCCGUUUUAGGGCCGAUCCACGUGCGACCCGACUCGCUCCAGGGGGAUCUGCGUGUUUUCCAUGGAAGGGCUAAUUGCACUUUUAGCCCUUCCACUUUUUUAAUGUUUUCCAAUCAAGUACUUUUAGUUUUUUUAAAAUUUUUACCUCGGAUUGUUUUUGCAUUUUCAAUUUAGUCCCUACUGAACUCCGCAUUUUGCAAGAAUGGGAUUAUUUCCCAUUUGCCCCCUCCUAGUUUUUCGCGUGUACAUUUUGGUCUUUUUUCCCUCUUAUUUAUUUUGAAUUUGCCCCGAAAUUUUGUUUUUAGCUCAAUUUAAUCCCUUUUUUCAUAUCUUUGCUAUUUUAUCGUUAUUUUCAUUAUUAGUAGUAUUAUUAUUUAUAUUAUUAAUAUUAAUAUUAUUAUUAAUGUUAUCAUUACUAUACUAUUAUUACUAUUAUUGUUAUUAUUAUUAUUCACUUAUUUAUACUUUUUUUUAACUUCAAAUUUUGUUAUCUAUAUAUACACUUGUAUAUAUAUUUUUAUAAUAUACAUACUUUUUAUAAUACAUAUACACGUACAUAUUUCUAACUUUUGUAAAUAUAUAUACACAUAUUUUUAUAUAUAUAUUUAUUUAUUUAUUUUUAUUUUCAUAAUUUUUAUAUAUAUUUAUAUACAUAUAUACAUACGUGCGUUUUUAUAACAUAUAUAUACUUGCACAUUCUUUAUAUUUUAUAACUCAUAUGCAUGUCUAUAUAUCUAUGUACGUAUCCUAUUUUCAUAUACAUAAAUACAUACUUUUGUAUGCCUUCCAUAAUUUUUACAUACAUGCAUGUACAUAUACAUAUUUUAAUUUACAUACGUAUAUAUGUAUAUGCUUACAUAUAUAUAUUUUAUAUAAUAAUUUUAAAUAUGUACAUACAUAUAUUUUCUAUAUUUCCAUAAUUUUAUGUAUAUACACAUAUAAAUAUCUUUUAUAUUUUUUAUAGUUUUAUACAUUUUCUUUGUUUAUUUCUUAAUUUAAAUUCUCAUCAUUUGUUUUGAAUUUUAUUGCUUAUAUGUUUGCGAUUGUGUAGUAUAUUAGUUUGUCUUUGUAUUUAUUUUAUGUUAUUUUGUAGCCCUUGCUCGUAUUAUUUUGCUUACAUCAUCAUAAUUAUCAUUCCAUUACGUCAAUUUUUACCCAGAUUCAAAAAAAAAUUUUAAAAAUAUAAGUAAUACUCGAUAUUUGGGAUCUUCGAGAGAAUCGAGCCCUAACGUAUUGGGUUCCGAUUUUCUUCGUUGAAUCUAAAUAAUCAAGAUUACUCUUUUAAAAAAUGUAUAAUAAAAAACUCAUUAUCGGGAAUUCCAUACGUUGUGUCCUAACGCAUUGGAUAUGACAUGUUGUUUUCCCGAGAUGAGAAUUUUUUCUAAAAAAUAAUAAAGGCAGUAUUUUGCAUUUAGAUUUGAGAAAGUCAUGCCCUAACUUACUGGUUUUGAUUUUCACAAUAAAUCUAAAUACGUGAAUCUUUUCAAAGUCAAGUUUUAGACGAUCUCGGGAAUUAAAAAAGAUCGUGUCCUAACUUACUGGUCGUGAUCUCUUUUUUAAAUCCGAGAUAACUAAAUAUCUUUUUAAUAAGUACAUUUUUGGCAUUCAUUCGCGUAUCGGGAAUUCGAGACAUUGUGUCCUAACUUACUGGAUAUGAUGCAUUUUUCUCGAUUAACGUGAAAUAUGCUUCUUUUCCCAAAAAUGUUCAACAUUUUACUACAAGGAUCGUAUUUUUAAAAUUCUUCAAAGUUUUCAUUUUUGACAUUAAGACAUUAACUAAUCAACUAGGUACCAAUUUUUGGGCGUUACGAGUGUGCUAAUCCUUCCUCGUACGUAACCGACUCCCGAACCCAUUUUUCUGAAUUUCGUGGACCAAUAUCGUUGUUUUAAUAAAAUCAAAUUGUUUAUUAAAAACGACCACUUUUCAAGGUGAUCCGAUCACACCUUAUUAAAAAGGAUUGGUGGCGACUCCCGUUUUCGUUUUCAUUUUCAAAACUCAAGUUGACCCAUUUUAUCAAAAAAUGGUGUCAACAGAAGCAACAGGAUGCAGUGGACUAAAAUAAGGCUACUUGAAGAAAAUAAGCACCAAAAAGUCAAAAUUCGACAAGACCAGACAAAAUUGAUUUAACACCUCAAACCCAGCCUAAACAUUAAGGCCGAAUCUGGUGAUGUCACAUUGUAACACCUCUUACCCGUACUCAACGCUGGAAUAGGGUACGAGGCAUUACUAGAAUAAAUACACUUAUAGACAUAUUAAACCGAGUUAUAAAAUUUCAUUCAAAUUUAAACUCUUCAAAUUUUUAACAUGCUUUUAUAAAUAUUCACGUUAUAACUUCAAAAUACUAUAUUUGUAUCCUCAAAAUAUUAUAUUCAUAAUAAAUAGGGUCUGCUAGACCCGAUACUUCAUUUCCAUUUCAUUUAAUUCAAAUCAUAUCAUAAUUCACAUACAGUUCAAUUUCAUUAAGUUCAAUACUAAUACAUAUUUAUCGUUUAACUUAACGUACCUUUUUUGCGUCAUUUUACACUUCAAGCAUGAACUUAGUAUUUCGUUUCCUUUCCACUCCCGUUUCCUAUGCAUACCACACAAGAUAUAAACAUUACACUCAACCAUAGUCGCAAACUAGUCUUUUUGAAGACUAACCACAUGAUAAAUUAACCAUUUUAACAAAGAUUACAAACUUUAACAAAGAUUACAAACUUUAAACCUUACCACCCUUUUAUGAUCACAAGCAUAUUUCCAUCUAGACAUUUACCAUUUCAAUGCAUAAUUUUAUAAAUUUAAUGUGGCGUAAUCCAACCACAACUUGGCCAAAGCCUAAGCAUACACACCAAACAUGCUAGCCAAAUAAACAUAUAGUAUAAGCAUUAUAGGCAUCAUUUCUAUUUCAUCAUCUAUCAAUUAUAAUCGGGCAUAUGACCAAUUAUACUCAAAUCAUUCAUAUAUUUCCCAAUUUUCCUCCUCCUCUUCUCCAUCCCACAUCCUUUAUGUAUAUAACAUGCUUAAAUAGCAUUAUGCGUAAUUUUACUAUUCACUUAUAUUCAAAUUCAAAGCUGUCUAUUUGAGUCAGAGUCACUAAAUCAUUUUUAUCUAGAGCUACAGAGCUCCAAAUUAAGAUCCCUUAAUUUUUUCCGAAACUAGACUCAUAUAUCUUUUUACCAUAAAAUUUUCAGAAUUUUUGGCUUGGCCAAUUAGUACAGUUUAUUCUUUAAAAUCACCACUAUUUCACUUCUCAACAUCUCUGACCUCUCUUCACUAAAAAUGAAUUAUCUCAUUGUACAAAUUUUGGAUGGUUCUCUCGUUUAUUUCUCUUAAAAAUAGACUCAUUGAGGAAUUUAAGCAUGUAAACUAAAAACCAUAAUUAUUUUUUUAAAAUUUAUAGUUAUUUUUCCAAAGUUGAAAUAGGGGAUUUCGAAAUCAUUCUAAUACUGUCUUACUAAAAUUUAAAUAUCUCAUAAUUUAUAACUCUUUUCUUAAUCUAUUUCUUCCAUAUGAAAAUAGACUCAAUAACCUUGAAUUUCAUAUUUUAUUCAACAUUUAAUUCACUUUCCACUAUUUUUGGUGAUUUUCCAAAGUGAUACCAUUGCAUGCUAUCCAUACAAUUUUUAUUGCUAAUUUUAUUCAAUCAUGUUUUCUUUGCAUUAAUUCUCACUUACACUCUCAUAACACUAAAGUAUAUUCAUAAUAGCCAUGCCAAUAGCUAUUCAUCAUCAAUUAUUUACAAAUCUUCGUUGUUUUAACACUUGUUCCAUAUCAACUUCACUCAAGUUUGACCACAUAUCACGCACAUUGCCCACCACAUAUUCACAUUCAUUUCCACUUAAUCAUUUUCCGGUUGAACACUUAAGAAUAUUAUUGGAUACGUCAGAAAUUUGCACAUAAGUGCCACACUUGUAGCAAAAGCAACUUCACAUCAUUUUUCACUUUAGCUCGUUCUCGAGCUAUUCACUUUCUCAGGUCUGCUCACACAAGCUGUCAGUCUUUUGUUACUACUCAGUGCUGCACUAUUGCUUACAUAAGCUGUCAGGUAUCUGCAACAUAUGCCGGUAUACCCAGCCACUGGUAGAACUUAAGACCAACACCCGAGUUCACAUUAAUCACAGUUUCGCAUCACGACCUACUCACACAAGCUGUCAGUCAUUCGUUACUACUCAGUGCUGCUCACACAAGCUAUCAGGUAUCCGCAACAUAUGCCGGUAUACCCAGCCACUGGUAGAACUUAUGACCAACGCCCAGAUCCACUUUAUUCACAAUUCCACAUAGAUCUCUAAUGACAUGCCACUUGUAUCCCAUUAUAUUCCUAAGGUUCAACCGAGAAAAUUUCCCACACUUCAUUAUUUUGUAAAUUUUUAUUCGAUAUUCAAUCACAUAUAUCAUAAAAUAUAUCUUUCAUCCACAUAUCAUAAAAUAUGUCAGAACAUAAAAUCAUAAAUAAAAAUUGAUGCAUUAUUUACAUAAAAAACUUACUUUUGUGCAACAAUAUAGAAAUUUAGAAAUUUAGUCUUUAAUCUUUUCUUUUCUCUAAUCAAGGUCGAUUCCACUUCUUUCUUGAUCUAUAAUAACAUAUUUAGUUUAUAUAACAUUCACAUUAUUCAAUCCAUUCCAAAAAUCACAUUUUGGAAAAAUUACAUUUUUACCCUAAAGUUUAACAAAAUUACGAUUUUGCUCCUAGGCUCAGAAAUUAAACUUUAUUCCUUUUUCUUAUGUUUUAUAACAUGCUGAACAUUUUUAUCUUCUAUAGCAACAUCAAAUUCUUGCUAUAACAUGCACUUAUGAACAAUAAUAAUUUUUACCGAUUAUGUCGUUUCACUUGUUUUCACUGAAAAUCGCUUAGUAAAAAUUGUUUAACACAAUUUCAAGCUUCAUAUUCUACCAUAAAACAUCAAAAUAAACACAUUUCACCUAUGGGUAUUUUUCCAAAUAUAAACCCUAGGUUAAAUUAUUGCUAGAAUAAGCUAAAUUAAGCUACCGGGACUUCAAAAACGUAAAGAACAUUAAAAACAGGGUUUAGAAUCACUUACUAUGGAGCUUGGAAGCUUGAAAACCCUAACCAUGGCUUUCCCCUUGCUAUUUUCGUUCAUCAUGGAGAACAUGGACAAAUUUUUGGCUAUUUUGGUCUUUUAAAUUCUUUUAAUUACUAAUUGACCAAAAUGCCCCAACUUAAAAAUAUCCUAUUUCACUUAUCUCUUGUCUAUUUUUGUCCAACAAGUUAACCAAUGGUCUAAUUACCAUUUGAGGACCUCCAAUUUAAAAUUUCAUAACAAUUGGAUACUUCUAACAAGUAGAACUCAACUUUUGCACUUUUUACAAUUUAGUCCUUUUGGCUAAAUUGAGUGCCCAAAUGUCGAAAUUUUUGAACAAAUCUUUUUAAAAAACCAUUCCGUGAAAUUGUAGACCAUAAAAAUAUAAUAAAAAUAAAAUUUUUCUCGUCGAAUUUGUGGUCCCGAAACCACUGUUCCGACUAGGCCUAAAAUCAAGCUAUUACAAUUGGUCCUUUUAAGGUAUUUUCUCUGUUUUCGUUACAAUACAACAAGUAAAGAAGGGAAUCUGUAAUAGGUCAAUUUUGGCCUGGGCCCAGAUCAAAAAUAAAAAAAAAACAAACCCAAAUAAAUAAAAGUCCAAAAAGAUUAAUAAUCCAUUACAAUGAAUAAAAGCCUACCACCCAAUUACCAGCCCAAAACAAAAAGCAAGCCCAAUCAAACUAGUCCACUACUCAAUCAAAUAACCAAAACUAAAACCUAAUAGCCCAAAAUUAACCUAGCCCAAUUAGCCCAACAUCUAAACAAAACAAAAACCCUAGCCUCCUAAGGCUCCAACUCUGCAUGUCAGAACCACCUACGCUACACACCAUCGCCGCUCGAGGCUCGCCUGUACGUUUUGAAUCCCACCGCCGCGAGUAGAGGAGGUCAUUGUUCCCAAUGAUGGACGGUUAUCUUUGGUAAAACGGAAGAAAAACCGAAGGGAUUCUUUUGGGUCAAGUUUUUACAAAAAAAAAGCCCUAGAUCUGGGCUUUACGCGUCAGAGCGCUCAAAACGGGAGUUUUUGGUGAACUACGGCCACCGUGGAUGGUGACCGCCAUCGUCGGCUGAUCGCCACGGCGGUGUUUGAUGAUCGGACCUAGUGGCUUUGAAAGAAAGGGGAAAGAGCUUUUAGAGUUUUUUUUAAACAAGGUUAAAAUGAAAGUUUUUGAAAAAAUUUUGAUUUAAAUAGCAGUUGUGAAACGACGCCAUUUCACUUAGGCCCUUUAAUGCCAAAACGAUGUCGCUUUCGGGGGCCGACCCGAGACCCGACCCGCGCGGCUAGGAUCCGUGUGUUUUCUAGCCCCUGGGAUUAUUUUCGCGGUCGAUCCUUCUGCUUUUUUUGCUCAUUGUCAAUUUAAUCCUUUUUUAUUUUUAAUUUUACCUUGUGAUUUUUGCAUUGUUUCAUUUUAGUCCAUAUUAGAACUGUGCGUUUUGAAAGACAGGGAAUAUUUUCCCUUUUGGUCCCUCCCUUUUAUUUGCUCAUUACGAUUAGGUCCUUCACCUCAUUUCAAUUCUCGAUUCCUCCCCUAAAAUUUUGUUUGGCUUUCAAUUUCAAUCCUUAUUUUCUUUUGUUUUAUUUUUUAAAUACUUUUGCAUUUUUAUAUUUUAUAUUUUUAUUAUUUAAAUUUCUACUUUUAAGUUCAAUUUAAUCUUGAUUUAAUCAUUAAUCUAUUUUAUUUCCACCUUUCCACAAACUUUUUAUUUUAUUUUAUUUUAUUUAUUUAUCAUUUCUUCUUCCUUUUACAUUAAAAAAAUAGAUUAUUAGUACUCUAUUUUUAAUGGUGCGUUUUUAUUAUUGUUGUUAUUAUUUCAAAUAUCUUAAUGUUAUGUUUAUUUAUCUUUUUUAAAUUGUGCAUUUUCCAUUUCCAUUUUUUAUUUUAAGUUACUUUAUUUAUCUUAUUAUUGCGAUCUGGUUAUUAAUAUUAUUACUAAUAAUCAAUUCAUGUCACAUUAAUUUUUACUCGAAACAGAAAAAGGAAAUUUUCAAAAUUAAGGCAAUGUUCCGUAUUUGGAAAUCUGAGAAGUCGUGCCCUAACUUACGGGAUUCGACUUUCUAUUUGAACCAAGACAACCUAAUAUUUUUUUAAAGCAUAUAGGAUUUUAAUUAAAAAAUAUAUUUUUAGGAAUUAAGAAAAGUCGUAUUCCUAACUUACAGAAUAUGGCUUCUUUCUAAAACCGAGAUAAUUAAAUAUUUUAAAAAAAUAUUUUUUUCCAUGUUUAUUCUCGUUUUGAGAAUUUAAGGCAUUGUCUCCUAACAUACGUGAUGUGAUUAUUUUUCUCGAUUAACUCAAAAUAAAUCCAUUUUCGUGUUAAAUAAUAAAAGAUCAUAUCUUAAAUCUCUUCAAAUUUUAAAUUUUCGACACUAAAGACGCCAAGUAAUCAACUAGGUACCAAUUUUGGGUUUAUCAGUGGUGCUAAUCCUUCCCCAUGCGUAACCGACUCCAGAACUAGUCUUCUGGAUUUUUUAGACCAAAAAUCAUCAUUUUAAUAAAUUUAAACUUGUAUUAAAAUGAUUAAAUUAUGAGGUGAUCCGGUCACACCUAAAUAAAAAAGAUUGGUGGCGACUCCCAUUUUCAUUUUUAAAAUAUAAAGUCGACCUUUCAAAAAAAGGGGUUUCGACAGUAAAUAUCUUCUUCUUUUUUUCACAUGGAUAACAAGCGAGUUUCUUUCUUUAUUUCUUUCUUUUUUAAUUUCAAAAUGUCAAUUAGUAAAUUUAAUAGAAGAAUUCUUACUGUAAUAAUUAGACCCGAUUUUUUAAAUUUAGAAAGUAAAGAAAUUGUACGGGCCCAAUUUUACCCGGGCCUUAAACACCAAACAAACAGCCCACAUAAACAAAAAUUAAUAAACAGUCCAUGACCCAAAACCCAAAUUACACCCGGGGCCCAUUACAAGCAAACCCAAAUAAAACCCAAACCCGAAUGGCCCAAUACCCUUCAGCCCAAACCAAUACCCAAGCCCGAAAACCAAAGUCAACUUAGGGUUUCAGUGUCUGAAACCCUAAGCGCCGCCUGCUUCAGACCUUUGGUCUUCUGCCGCCACCACCGCGCGUCUGUCACCGCCACUGUCGUCCGUCAAUCAUCUACAGGAAAUAUACACGCAAACAACAAAUAACACAGCAAAAAUAGCAUAAAAAUAUAAAGGAAAUCGGCUAUAAAAGGCCGGAUUUCCCCCCUGUAUUUCUUCUUCUUUUUUCACGAGAUCAAUACAAAAAAGCAGAUUAAAGAAAUAGAAAGGUUGAUCCCAAAGUUUUUCUUUCUUGUUCUGUUAUUGUGCAUUUCCUUUCACUGUUAUUAGUAUUUUUUUUACUUAUUUUCUUUAUUCUUUUAAACUAAAAGAAAGUGAAAAGAAAAAGGGGGAGAGGGUACCUACCUGUCUCGAAAGCCCGUCGCCAAAGACCCUAUUCGGUGUUGGAAUCGGACGAAAAGGGGUGCGAAGGACCCCUCCUUUUUCAUCUUUUUUAGACCAACAGGGCCUGGUUUUCGUGUGUGCUGUGAAUCGGGGCUGAAAAGCUUUUUUUUUUGCGCAACGCCAGCCACCGCUCACGGUGGCGCUACGGCGGUGGCGCUACAGCCGAUUGCCAUGGCCGGUUAGAGGCCUGAGAGAGAGAGCUUGGCUCUCUGUUUUUUUUAAGAAGGAUGAAACUAAAAUUUUUUUGGUUUUUUUAUAUAUAUUUAUACUGAGCUCGAAACAGCGCUGUUUAAGCCCCUGUGACCCGCGUGCGAUCCUACCCGCUCCAGGGGGGAUCCGCGUGUUUUCAUGAAAUGGGCUAUUUGUGCCUUUGGUCCCCCCAUCAUUAAUUUGUUUUGUUUUAAUUCUUCUGCUUGUUUGUUUUUUAAUUUGACCUCGUGUUUUUACACCUAUUUCAUUUCAGUCCUGCAUGAAACGGUGCGCUCUAAUGGACUGGGGAUAAUUUCCCAUAUAGUCCUCGCGUUUCUGCAGCGCGUUACAAUUUGCCUCUCUUUUAGUUUUUUUUCUUUUAUUUCAAUUUGACCGUUUAACUUUUUUUUGUUCCAUUUUAGUCCUGUGAAGUGCUGCGUUUUGGGAGAUGGGGAUAUUUUCCCCUUUAGUCCUUCCUUGUUAUUCGCACACUCAAUUCGGUCCUUUCCUUUUAAAUUAUUUACAUAUCUGCCCCCCGAAUUCCUGUUUCAAAACCAAAUUAGUCUUUUUUUUAUCUAUUCACCCAUUUUAUUAUAAUUUAGACUUCAAAAUUUAUUUUAACUUCAAUUUGACCCUCUGUUCGUUUAAUUCCAAGUUAUUUUGUUUAUUUAUUCUUUUUGUUUUGUUUUAUUUAGUUAUUUAUUUAUUCUUGCAUUUAUUUAUUUCUUCAUUUCCCUUGUAUGAUUAGUUUAUCAUAUUGUUUAUUCCUCUACUUACACUAUAUUAUUAUUGUUGUUUAUUGCUAUCAUUCUUAUUAAUGAUUAAUUCAUUUUUAUAUUUCUAUUAUUAGAAUAAACAACUAAUACGGUUAUUGUUAUUAUUGGAUGAUUAUUGUUAUAAUUAUGUCAAUAUUAUUUUAUGCUUUAUGAUUUAUUAUUUAUUUUUUUUAUAUCUACUAAUAAAGUUAUUUCAUGUUACAUUAUUAUUGUACUUUGUAUUGUAUAAAAUAAAUGUUAGUCUUUAUACUAUACUUGCAUAAAUUAAACUUACAUCUCAUCAAAUAUUAUGUUAAUUCAUACUCAAAAAGAAAAAUUUUCAAAAUAAAGCAACAUGUUGUAUUUAGAAAUUCAAGAAAGUCGUACCCUAACUUACGGGGUUUCAAUUUUCUCGAAAACUCGAAUACACGAAUCGUUUCAAUCAAAACUUUUAAAUAUUAUCGAGAAUUUAUAAAAGAUCGUGUUCUAACUUACGGGACAUGAUCUCUUUUAAUAAAACCCGAAAUAAUUGAGCUUUUCCAAAAAUAAUUUUUUUGGGCAUUUAUUCUCACAUCUGGAAUUUUUGAUAUUGUGUCCUAACUUACGGAACGUGAUUUCUUUUUCUCGAAUGACGUGAAAAUAUGCCUUUCUCUCUAACUUAUACAAGUUUUUAUACAAGGAUUGUAUCUUUAAAAAUUUUUCAAAUUUUUCAUUUUCGACAUUAGGACAUUAAAACAUUUUAAUCUGCAACACAUGUAAAUGAAUAUUAUUGGGUUUUAAAUUAUUAUUUUUUUAAGAAAAAUCGAAUCGAAUCGAAAUUGGGAAAAGAAAUUGGUGUUCUUUACAUAUCCUUAACUUCAUGGGUGAUUAGGGAGGUGGCCCGAUUGAUAGAGAUUAGGUCGAUUUUGGAUGGUUUAGAGCCGGACCAUUAUGCAUUAUUAAAUUCUCAAAGCCCCACAUUCAAAUUUGUUGAGCUAAUAUGACAUAAAAUAAAUGAUGGAGCACAAAAAAAUUUAUAAUAAGAAAAUUCAUUUAUAUAAAUUAGAAAGUUUGUGGAAAUCACAAAUUUAAAGCGAAAAGAUUAAAAUAUCUUCAAAUAAUAUUAUUUACUUUAAUUAUGGAAUGAUAUUUUCGUAAUAUUUUAACCGAAUUGAUACCCAGUUAAUUCAUGACACUAAAUUAAUUAAAAAUUUAUAUAUAUAUACAAAUACGAUCAAAACACUUCAAUUUAUUAAAUUCAUCUCUAUUUUAUAAAAAAGUUUAAAAAAUUAAUCCAUUUAUUGAUAAAUACAGGAAUUCGAUUUUUGUGUAUUUAAAUAAAUUAACUAUUUUUGUCCGUAAAAAACUCAAUUUUUAGAUCUUUUAAUUCUAAUUUUUCAGAACCCAUAUUUUACUCUAAUUUAAACCUUUUAGGAAUAUAUUUAAAAAAAAUUCCUUUUUGAGGAAAGAUGGAGUGAAAAGGAUAGAUUAUUCAACUUUGCUUAUAUUUGGAAUUAUAUAUGAAAUUAAUUGGGGAAAGCUCAAAAAAUAAAAAUUAAAAAAGGCAAUUCGUUAAAUUUAUUAAAUAAAUCACUUUUAUGAUUAAAAAGACUAGUUUCAUUCAUAUAUGUCCACAUAUCACACAGUAGUGUUGAGAGUCGUUUGGAAAAAAUCCAAAAAUUAGAGAAAAAAAAAUAAAGGGUUCUCCUAUAUGUUUUUGGUAGAGUUUGGAGACAUGAGCAGGUAUCUUAAUAGAAUUUAAUCAUAUAUAAAUAUAUAUAUAUAUAUAUAUAUAUAUAUUUGAGUGAGUCUCAUAAUAGAGGAAACAAUUAGACAUACAUGUAGGGGUAACGCUAGGGGUUGCAACCCCCUUCAACGAGGAAUUUUCUCUUUAAAUAUUUUAGAAUAUGUAAAUGUUAAAUUAAUAUAUUAACUAUACUAUUAGUCAUCAAACUAUACGAGUAAUUUAAUUUUCGUCAAGUAAUUAAUGGUAGACUAAUUGCCUAUACUAACUGUAACAACCUAUUUUUUAGUGGUGUUGAAAAUAAUGACUUCAGGGCUAUAAAUUUGACAAGUAUAUUCGUAAAUAUUAUUAUAUAAUAUUAAAAUCCACAUAUCACAAAACAAAUAAAAAAACAAAAAAAACUCGGAUAAACAAAAUUAAAAUCCACCCUUCGUAGAUUUUUAUGUGUUUAGUCCUUUCAUGAGAAAUAGGAUUUGGUGCUAUCUGUAAAGCCAUCUGGUUGUCAAAAUGCAGUCGCACAGUUUUCUUCAUUUUAACUCCUAUUUUCUUGAUUAAUCCUAUUAUCCAUACUACUUCUGCUAUUGUUAUUUCCAUCUAGAAAGAAACAAGAGCAUCUCCUAUUUUAAAGCAAAAACCUGAAGUUGACCUUCUUGUCAUAGGACAUGCAGCCCAACCUGAAUCACUGUAAGUUUCUAAUUGCAGGAUGCCUUUUGCAAACAACAAUAUCGCUUGUCAUAAAUCCUUUUUAAUAUACUCGACUAUGCUAAGUACAUCUUCAUAGUGGAACUUCUUUGGCUGCUGCAUAAACUAACUAAGAUAUUGAACCGAAUAGUUUAUGUUUGGUCUAGUAAUAGUUAAAUAAAGUAACUUUUAAUGAGUCUUUUAUAUGCAGCUGUAUCUUGAUUUAAUGGUUAAAUUAAUAAUUUUAGUAAUAAAAGGAUCUGAUUGGUAUAACAUCGAUAAUUAAAUAAUAUAAUUAAAAUAUUUUGAAGAUAAUUAGUACAAUUAACUAAAACAAAUAAUUUAAUACAGAAAUUAAACAAUAUAAUAAAAAAUUCGAGAUUCAUAAAUCAUAACAAAUUUGGAAGAAACAGAUUUGGUGGAUUCAUAAAUAUCAUUAUUGAUUUUUUUAUUUUUAAAAUGUAUUAUUUAUACAAUAUUAAAGAAGGGUUAAAGAAUAAUAAAAUUUGAAAUAUAUAGUUUUGAUUUUGAUAAUAAUCAAAUAAAUACAUCAUAAAACUUAAGUAAAUAAUUAUUAGACUACCAUAAAUAAUUAUCAGGCAUGUCAAAAUUUAGUACUUUAGUAAAUAAUAUUUAGAUUAUUUAAAAAUAAAUAUAUUUAUUAAAGAAAUUAAGGUUUAAAUUUUAAUUUUGUGGAUUUUUAUUGAGUUUAGAUAAAAAGAUAAAAACAUAUUUAAAAUAAUGUAAAUAUAAUAUAUUUUAUGAUUUUAAAAGAUAUGAUUAUGAUAUCACACAAUUUCUAUUUUUUUCUUUGUCUUUUUUUAGCAAUAAAUUGGUGACACCGGUGUUAUUUUAUUACGGUCUCAGUCUACUAGUGUCGAAGAAACAAAGCUUAUUAUCAGAGAGAAGCAGCGUUGCCGGAAAAUGGCUUGCCUCAAUGCCCGACGAUCUCUAUCCACCCUUUUAAGCCGCGCCCUCACUGCUUCUUCUUCUUCUUCCUUUCCUUCCCGUUCUCGCCUCACUGUUGCACUCCUCAACAAAACCCCAGUUUUUAUCCCCGAAGCAACCAAAAUCCUGACCCGAACCAAGACAUCCGGGUCCGGCUACUCGCCUUUGAACGACCCAUCUCCUAACAGUAGUAGCCCACGACCAUCGGUUCUCCUAGAUGACAGUUCUUAUGAGCAUUGGCUUAUCAUUUUGGAAUUCCCAGAAUGCCCGAAACCUUUGGAAGAAGAAAUGAUCGAUGCCUAUGUUAAAACCCUCGCUUCUGUUGUCGGCAGGUUUUUAAAUUAUAAUUAUUCCUUCAAAUUUCAUUAAAUCUGGGUUUUAUUUUCUUUUUUGUUUGUCUGAUCUUGUAGUGAAGAGGAAGCGAAAAAGAGAAUAUACUCUGUUUGUACAACGAGGUAUACUGGGUUUCGUGCUUUUUUCUCUGAGCAUUUGGUCGAAAAACUUGGAGGUAAUAUCAUUUCCCAUUUACUAGGGUUUAGGGUUUACAUGGUUUUCCCUUUUUCUAGUGUAAUUGGAACAAGAAACGGGUUUCUUGAAACAGUGGGUUUUCAGAAAGAAGAAAGAAUUAACAUUGGUUUUCAUUGUGUGUGAUGUGUUGCUAGCUGUUUUAGGGUUUUAAACCUCCCGAUGUGAUUGCUUUCUAUACUAAUUUAUUAGGGUUUAAAUGGUUUUCCCCAAUUGCUUUUGUGAGUGUUUUUGAACUUACAAUUGAUGAGGCAUCCACUUUGUUCUAAAAUCAAUUGGCAUUAUGUUUCUACAGUGUUACCUCGUGUACGCUGGGUUUUACCAGUUCGGUAUUGUAGCCGAGAUCAUUAUUAUGCAGGUGGGUAGUUUAAAGAUGAAGUUUGCUGCUUACAGCCAUUGAAGUUCUCAUUGUCAACAAAUUUAAUCUUUUUUUUAUUGGUGGAUUGAUUGCCAGGGGAUCUGUUUGUUGAUGGGAAAGUCUUUCAUAGACCGCAAUUUCCAUGGGUUGGUGUUCCAAAUAGCAGCCACAGAGUUGGAGGAUGUGGUGAUCAUGAGCUUUGGCUUAUCACUUUCGAAUUCCGGGAAGAACCUUCCUUAGAAGAAAAGAUUGAUUUCUAUGUCAAAACCCUCGCUUCUGUUGUCGGCAGGUUUUUGAUUCUUUCAAAUUUGCGUUUUCUUUCCUGGAAUUUGAGAAAUGGGUUUUAUUUUUCUUUUUUGUUUGUAGUGAAGAGGAAGCGAAAAGGAGAAUAUACGCCGUUGGUGGUAGACUAACGGUGUAUACUGGGUUUCGUGCUGUUAUGUCUGAGGAGAUGGCUUAUGAACUUGAAGGUAAUUGCAUUUCUCAUUUAUUAGGGUUUACAUGUGUUCUCAUUUAUUAGGGUUCAGUGUUUGGAAUUGGCGUUAUGUUUGUAUAGGGUUUCCUCUUGUAAAAGGCAUUUAUCGGGAUUCACAGGACGAAUAUGAUGAAGAUUUUGAUGGAGGUGGGUAGUUUAAAGAAUUCAAGAUGAUGUUUGUUGCUUACUGCCAUUGUCAACAAAUUUAAUCUCCUUUUUCUUAUUAGGGCAUUUGCUUGUUGAUGGGAAAGUCGUUCUUAGACCAACCUCUUUUAGCAAGAAGAGGUGCCUGACGCGAUCAGUUCGUUUGGUGGUGAACCAAGUAUUAAACGAUAUUUAUAUUCGUAAAAUGGAUGAAACCGAAACCGAGGGCUAGGACCAGAUCUUUUCUGAUUUGGUGGAUUCAUAGAUCUCUUUAUUUUUUUUUAAUUUAUGUGUUCAAUAUUAGAAGAGUCAUAAUUAUUUGAAUUAUUAAUUCGUGUAAUCUCCAUUCCUAAUGAAUACUUGUUGUUAUUAUUUAAAAUAUAUACGUUUGGUUAUUUAUAAAUCUAUUCUAAUAUCUUUAAUCAUCAUCUCAUUGUAGUCUAAAUUAUUGGUAAUUUAUGUUUUAAUUUCUGAAUUAUUCCCGCCAACAUUGGGGAGGACGACAAAGUCUUCUACAGUAUCAAAAUCCCAUGGAUCCUUAUCACCCCAUACUUUUUAAUUUUUUUUUUCCAAAUGAAUGAUAGUAUAAAUAUAUUAUUGGAAGGAUAUUUAAAGCGAAAAGAUUAAAAUAUCUUCAAAUAAUAUUAUUUACUUUAAUUAUGGAAGGAUAUUUUCGUAAUAUUUUAACCGAAUUGAUAUUCAGUUAAUUCAUGACACUAAAUUAAUUAAAAAUUUAAAUAUAUAUAUACAGCACAUCUGAAUGAAUAUUAUUGGGUUAUGAAAUAACUAAUAUUUAAUUGUCAAAUAUUUAUUAAAUUCAUCUCUAUUUUAUGAAAACUUUAAAAAAUUAAUCCAUUUAUUGAUAAAUACACGGAUUCGAUUUUUGUGUAUUUAAAUAAAUUAACUAUUUUUGUCCGUAAAAAACUCAAUUUUUAGAUCUUUUAAUUCUAAUUUUUUCAGAACCCAUAUUUUACUCUAAUUUAAACCUUUUAGGAAUACAUUUAAAAAAAAUCAUUUUUGAGGAUAGAUUAUUCAACUUUGCUUAUAUUUGGAAUUAUAUAUGAAAUUAAUUGGGGAAAGCUCAAAAAAUAAAAGUUAAAAAAGGCAAUUCGUUAAAUUUAUUAAAUAAAUCACUUUUAUGAUUAAAAAGACUUGUUUAAUUCAUAUAUGUCCACAUAUCACACAGUAGUGUUGAAAGUCGUUUGGAAAUUAUUUAUUGUUGUUAUUAUAUACAAAAUAUAUAAUUUUGAUUUUGAUAAUAAUUAUUGAUUAUUAAUAAAUUUAUUUUAAUAUCUUUAAUGAUAAUUUUUAAUCAUCAUCUUUGGCUGCUGCAUAAACUAACUAAGAUAUUGAACCGAAUAGUUUAUGUCUGGCCUAGUAAUAGUUAAAUAAAGUAACUUUCAAUGGCUCUUUUAUAUGCAGCUGUAUCUUGAUUUAAUGGUUAAAUUAAUAAUUUUAGUAAUAAAAGGAUCUAAUUGGUAUAACAUCGAUAAUUAAAUAAUAUAAUUAAAAUAUUUUGAAGAUAAUUAGUACAAUUAACUAAAACAAAUAAUUUAAUACAGAAAUUAAACAAUAUAAUAAAAAAUUCGAGAUUCAUAAAUCAUAACCAAUUUGGAAGAAACAGAUUUGGUGGAUUCAUAAAUAUCAUUAUUGAUUUUUUAAUUUUUAAAAUAUAUUAUUUAUACAAUAUUAAAGAAGGGUUGAAGAAUAAUAAAAUUUAAAUUCGUGUUAUUAUAUGAAAUAUAUAAUUUUGAUUUUGAUAAUAAUUAAAUAAAUACAUCAUAAACCUUAAGUAAAUAAUUAUUAGACUACUAUAAAUAAUUAUCAGGCAUGUCAAAAUUUAGUAUUUUAGUAAAUAAUAAUUAGAUUAUUUAAAAAAUAAAUAUAUUUAUUAAAGAAAUUAAGGUUUAAAUUUUAAUUUUGUGGAUUUUUAUUGAGUUUAGAUAAAAAGAUAAAAACAUAUUUAAAAUAAUGUAAAUAUAAUUUAUUUUGUGAUUUUAAAAGAUAUGAUUAUCAUAUCACACAAUUUCUAUUUUUUUCUUUUUCUUUUUUUACCAAUAAAUCGGUGACACCGGUGUUAUUUUAUUACGGUCUCAGUCUACUAGUGUCGAAGAAACAAAGCUUAUUAUCAGAGAGAAGCAGCGUUGCCGGAAAAUGGCUUGCCUUAAUGCCCGACGAUCUCUAUCCACCCUUUUAAGCCGCGCCCUCACUGCUUCUUCUUCUUCUUCCUUUCCUUCCCGUUCUCGCCUCACUGUUGCACUCCUCAACAAAACCCCAGUUUUUAUCCCCGAAGCAACCAAAAUCCUGACCCGAACCAAGACAUCCGGGUCCGGCUACUCGCCUUUGAACGACCCAUCUCCUAACAGUAGUAGCCCACGACCAUCGGUUCUCCUAGAUGACAGUUCUUAUGAGCAUUGGCUUAUCAUUUUGGAAUUCCCAGAACACCCGAAACCUUUGGAAGAAGAAAUGAUCGAUGCCUAUGUUAAAACCCUCGCUUCUGUUGUCGGCAGGUUUUUAAAUAAUAAUUAUUCCUUCAAAUUUCAUUAAAUCUGGGUUUUAUUUUCUUUUUUGUUUGUCUGAUCUUGUAGUGAAGAGGAAGCG